RNAcentral lists this long non-coding RNA (48965 nucleotides) under Phoenix dactylifera (date palm). RNAcentral describes it as "long non-coding RNA (PDAC_LNC005415)". Lineage: Eukaryota; Viridiplantae; Streptophyta; Magnoliopsida; Arecales; Arecaceae. The record is from RNAcentral.
UUUUUUUUUUUUGUAAUCUGAUAAUUUAGAUUGAUGCCACAGCCAAAAUCUAGUAAGCAUGAUAGAAGAAGGGAAACAUGGUGCUUAAGGUCCAGGAUCAAGAGGGUUAGCACAUGUGGCAUGAGGAAAAAAAGAGUUCCCACUAUGAAUUGGACCCACAUGAGGUAUGGAGUAGAGAGAUAUUGGCAAUACAGAGUGUUAUCUUGUGAGUCCUGCAAUGGUGUCUCAUGGAUGGAAGAGGGAAAAACUGAAGAGAGGUGGAGUUAUUUUAUGCGGGGAGUCAGGAUAGUUUUGGAAUUUAUCAAAUUGUGGAGUCAAUUGAAAUGGAGUCUUACCACCCUGAGUUCCUAUCAUAAUAGAUAGAUAUUUUUUAUCUAAUAAAUUAUUUUACCAGGAAUAGUGUUCCAAUACCAUAGAUAGAAAUUUGGCAAAUAUAAACAUCAUCAUAAGUUUUUCUUUCUACUAACCACUCAAAUAGUUCUUUUCUGACUAAUGGAAGCCAAUUCUUGGCUGAACAAUUGAACAGCAUAUAGCCUGAGCUAUUGUUAACUAGGACAUUAGUUGGGGGAUAAGGAAGAGUAAGAAAAGGCUCUUUCGAUUAUUGAAUAGACAAUAUAAGUCUAAGACAUUAACAUUAGCAAUAUGAUUAAUGUAAUGGAUGUGCAUACGCAAUUACCAAUUAUAUAUGGAAGCUUAAUAUCUUAUAGUGUCCAUAGCAUAUACAUAAACAAAUAUUUCAGUUCUUUGAAAAAGGGAAUUCAUCACAGGUUCUUGAUAAUCAUUACCAGAACAAAAAUAGUUUUUGUGUGGAACCAUUGUAUUUUAUGUCAGCAGGGUUCGGUGGGAGGGGGGAGUAUAUAUGAGCUAAUAUUUCUAACCUGUAGUGGUUAGACAGAGAAUCAUUAGGCUAUUUGAGCAUAGCCCAGUCAUUAUGCAGUGAACCAAGUAUCUAUCCAUGCAUAACCAAUUGUUAUUCAUCAUACAGGAAGCCAAAUGGCUAUAUGUGAAUUUACCCAAAUGUGCUGUCAUGAGUAGCCUUCAACAAAUUUAUCCAAGCUAAUUGGCCCUGUCUAUAGCAAGGCAGUAAGCUAUAACAAAGAGAAAGCAAGUAGAAAAAAGAACAGAAUGAGAGAGAGAGAGCGAGAGAGAGACCUGGCUGAUGCCUAGAGAUGGGCUUUAACUCUUGAAGUCAAAAAGAAAUUGAUCUUGAUUUAAAUUGUAGCACCAUCAUCAACACCAUCAUGUGGAGUCAAUGGUGUUACUAGCACCACGAUCCCUUCCAAAUAUUGGAAGAGGUGAUGCCCAUUUUUCAGAAGUCUGCUUAUCUUCGGCACAUGAACAUGGAUAAGGGAUACGGAUACAAUAUGAUAUGGAUAGCUGGCAUAGCAAAUCUUGGGAGAAUCAGAUACUAUGUAGUUAAUAUAUACAUAUUACAUUUAUAUAUACACACAGAGAGAGAGAGAGAAAUACAUGUAUAUGUGUCCGUAAAAAAAGUAUCUAUAAAGCAUAGUAGGUUAUGAAGAUAACACAGUCCAUUUCUUUACGAUAGCAUCAACUUUUACUAGUUCAUCAUUUACUCAUCCUUCGAUCUAUAGACUAAAGUCCAUACUUAAUAAGUUAAUAUUUUAAUAAUAAUAUCAUAGACUACAAAAUUGACCUUCUCCCUUAUUGUUAGACUUAUGGGGAAGUAUCUGACAUAUAUCCGAGAAGUAUCCAGUAGUUUUUUUUUUCAAUUUUGAAAAGCGCGAUACUAAAUACAAGUAUUAGACAUGUAUCCAAGAAGUAUCCAAUGUGAAUUAGAUAAGGACAUGGCAUGUGAUUUUAAGCACCAGUGCUUCCUAGGGUUGUCAUGCUUGGUAGUUAGAUAAUUUUGACCUACUCAUUGAUCUCCAAUGUACUUGUAAGCCUAAGCUUCAUGCAUUCAUCCCCAUAAAUUUAUAAUUAGUCAUUUUUUGUGCAACAUACUUAUUCAAGAAAUUGAUUCCCAAAUUCUUUUAAUUUGUUUUGAUUCAAUUUCAUUUUUAAUUUAUUUUUAACCAAAAGUAGUUACUGUUCAUCCCCCAAAUGAUGCCUAUUUGUUUUGAUUCUAUCUCAUUCUUAUUCUAAACUACUUGCAUUUCCAACUCUUUAAUUGUCAUUACCAAAAAAGUCAGCGUAUUGUCGGAUUACCCUCGCACGCGUUGCGACGAUCGCAACGGAAAGACAUGUGCGGAGUUGUUCAUCUCAUGAACGUUCUAGGAAACGUAGAUUUCAAAAAUUUUCUAGAGUUCUCUAACUCAGAUUUAUGAAAUCUAAAGAAAAGAUUAAAAUUAAAAGACUAGAUUAAUUUUAGAUUUAUUACAAUUCUUAAUUGUAUAGAAUUUAUAAAGACCUAAUCUUUAUCUUUGAGUGGGUAGAACUUCACCACUGUCUGAUGAUCAUAGGAUUUCUGGUUCUCUUGAAGCCGCACAAGCGUCCGGCCUCUACAGGUAUCUACACGAGGUACAGAUUGCUCCAAGAUCUCACCGGGGUGCUAGCUUCCUUGCAGAUAUCAUCUUUGAUGGCUGAAUUCCUCUCUUUUAAUCAACUCCUUGAUUACUUUGAGAGGAAGAAGAAGGAAGACGACGAACGUCGAAGGGGAGGAAGAAGAAGACGACAACUCUUCUUCUUUCUCUCUUGCUCACGCCAAAGGGAAGAAGGAUGGAGAGGGUGGCAGCAACAGAGGGGCUUCAAUACUCUUAUGCUUCACGCAAGGGCCCUUUAAAUAGGCAUCUCAUGCCCGUACGAACAAGGAGUAAUUUCAGAGAUCAAUCACUCCUUGAUUCAUCCCUCCAAAAUCUGCAACACCCCUUACUUAAUUCUAUUACAACCCUUACUUAAAAGAGUUUGAAGAGAAUCUAAGGGAUGUGCUCAUACCAUCUGGCAAUCCGUGUGAACCAGGAGGAGGAGGAGAUCCACCCCUCCACAUGGCGUGGAGACCAUGAAAGGAAAGGAGGGGCUGACGCCUCUCCUUUCUUGGUGCGUGUGAGAAGGAGGGGCGGACGCCCCUUCCUCUUUCCUUCUUUGCUCCACACGCAUGGAGGAAGGUUCCCUCCCUUCCUUCCAUGCGUGGGUCUCCUAAUCCAAUUAGGAUUUACAUGGUCCCACCUGACCAAUUGAAUUCUAAUCCAAUUAGAACCCAAUGUGUCCUCCAAAUUGAUUUAUAUGAAUCCUAAUCCAAUUAGGACUUGAAUUGGACUUCAUGAAUCAAGUUCCUUAUCUAAUAAGAAGUUCUAAUUAAUUAGGCCUUUCCAUCCUUAUCCAAUAAGGUUAAGCAUAAUUUAAUUAGGUCCAAUUAAAUCAAUUAAAUUGCAAUCCAAUUGCAAUUCCUUCUUCUUUAACUCACUAACUCUUAGCAGGUUAAAUCAAAUUGAUAAUCAAUUUUAAUUUCGAUUCCAAAUCGUAAUCCAAGCUUCGGAACGAUCAAAACCUCUAAUAUGUGGGACCCUGUAGGUUCUAUUCUGACUGGUAGUGAGAUAUAUUAUGAUCUCUAUCAUAAUAUCAUCGAAAUUCCUUUCAAUGGGUUGAAACGAUUUCAACUCUACUCUUAGGGUUCACUGAUCACCAAAUAAAUGCCUUCGAGUCUCACAAUCCACUAGUGACACCUAGCAGCAUAUAGUGACAACCCAGCAUAAUGGAAGGUAUGAACCUCUAGGUGCAGUUAGCGUAUGAUACAAUACCUUUAUCAUGGAUCCCGACAUGACGGAGGUUAUGGAUAACUCGUCAAACCCCAUCGUCUGUCUUAUGUCGGAUUUAUUUGACUUAAGUUCGAGAUUGGAAAACUCCUUUUUCAGAACUGCCCUGGCCAAGGUCUUCCGAACUUAGUCUCAUAAAUCACAUAGGAUCUCUCCUAAUUUAUCAAGGUUGAUAGAUCCCAUCUAGAUGCAGCCCUAAUCCGACAGUGAAUCUACCGUAGCCAAUCUGCACCACAAGAAUCCUUAGGGCCAAUGUUUAUGUGAAACAACAGCAACCUCACCGUGAUUAGCUGAGGCAUCGCAAGUCUAAGCACUAGUCAUACAACUGCAACAUCAAGUAAGUCACUGAUGAGUGGAUAGACAUCCAAGUGACUUCUUGCUUUUGUCACGCCCAGUACCCUUGUUCUCUAACAAGCACUUGCACAAUCACCCCAGUGUCGCCACACUGUGGACUUAAGACUCGUCUAUCAAGAAAAGUGAUCUGUGCACUAAUCUUAUCGGAUCGAUCACCGUCCUUCGUGAUGAUCCUAAAUCAGGAGUAGUUCAGGAAUUACAUAAUGAUACAUGUCUUAAAUUCUCAACUCUUGAGAAUAUGUGUUAUUAUCUCAUUAAUUCUUAGGACGAUUCAUGGACACAUAAUAACAUGAAUGAAAAGAAGAUCCAAUUUUAUUAAUGAAUAAAAUGAUCAAGUACAGUUGUUAUGUCCUAGAAUUAAUACAAUGCGUCUGCCAUAUUGGCUUCUAGGGCAUACUUCUAACAAUCUCCCACUUGCACUAAAGCCAAUUAGACAUGUAUCUUAGCCCCAUCUUCUCAAGAUGUGCUUCCGUCUUUUGCUGACUCAGCUGCUUAGUGAGCGGGUCCGCCAUAUUGUCCGUGGAGUCUACUUUUUGUACCUCUGCAUAUUUCUUUUCGAGGUAGUCGCGUAUCAGAUGAUAUCGUCGCUCUAUGUGCUUGGACUUCUGGUGAGACCUCGGCUCCUUAGCUAGUACUAUGGCGCCAUUAUUGUCGCAGUAGAGUGUAAUGGCAUCUGAUGACAUCAUGCCUAACUCUUCAACAAAUUUCUUGUACCAGAAUGCUUCCUUUGCAGCUUUCGAUGCGGCAAUAUAUUCAGCUUCCAUGGUAGAAUCUAUAAUGAUCGGUUUGGAACUUUUCCAAUUUAUCGAUCCACUAUUGCUCAAGAACACAUAUCCUGAUGUAGACUUUCUAUCAUCAGGGUCAGUCAUAAAGUCUGAAUCUGUGUAUCCUUCUACCUUUAACUCAGAUCCUCCUACAAAAAGCAAGAACAUAUCCUUAGUCCUUCUCAAGUACUUAAGAAUGUUCUUCACAGCUAUCCAGUGCUUUUCGCCUGGAUUUGACUGAUAUCUGCUCGCGACACUCACAGCAUGUGCUAUAUCAGGUCGUGUACAUAGCAUGGCAUACAUGAGGCUCCCUAUAGCCGAAGCAUAAGGGAUCUUGCUCAUUCGUUCAAUCUCUUCAGAUGUUUUGUGGCACAUCUUCUUGGAGAGAUUAAUCCCAUGCCUAAGGGGUAACAAUCUCCUCUUAGAAUUUUCCAUACUGAACCUCUUCAGUACUUCCUCUAUGUACAUUUUUUGUGACAGGCCAAGGAUUCUUUUAGAUCUAUCUCUAUAGACCUUAAUCCCCAAAAUAUAGGAUGCUUCCUCUAAGUCUUUCAUGGAGAAUUUCUUAGACAACCAUACCUUGACUGAAGUUAGCAUGGAAAUAUCAUUCCCUAUUAGGAGAAUAUCAUCCACGUACAAGAUGAGGAAUAUGAUAGCCCUCCCACUAACCUUCUUAUAUACACAAGGUUCCUCUUCGUUUUUUAUGAAAUCAAACGAUUUGAUUACAUCAUUAAAACGAGUGUUCCAACUUCGAGAUGCUUGCUUUAGUCCAUAAAUGGAUCUUUGCAGUUUGCAGACCUUGUGAUCUCCAUCACUGAAAGUGAAACCCUGAGGCUGCUUCAUAUAGAUAUCUUCCUCAAGAUAUCCAUUUAAGAAAGCAGUUUUCACAUCCAUCUGCCAGAUUUCAUAAUCAUGAAAUGCUGCAAUGGCAAGCAAUGUUCGAAUGGACUUCAGCAUGGCUACAGGUGAAAAGGUUUUCUGAUAGUCAAUGCUUUCGCGCUGACUAUAACCUUUCCCCACUAGCCUAGCUUUAUAGGUCUCUACCUUGCCAUCCGAACUUAAUUUUCUCUUGUAGAUCCAUUUACACCCAAUCGGAACUAUACCUUCUGGUAGAUCUAUUAAGGUCCAGACUUGGUUGGAGUGCAUGGAGUCUAUCUCUGACUUCAUUGCUUCCAGCCAUUUCUCGGAAUCGAUGUCUAACAUUGCCUCGUCGUAGGUAUUGGGAUCUUUAUUAUGAUCUCUAUUUCCCAUGAGGAACACUUCCUCUACUUCCUCUGUAAGCAUACCUAAGUAUCUUUCAGUAGGAUGAGAAAUCUUACUAGAUCUACGAGAUGAAGGAGGUUCUACAUGUACUGGCUCUAUAUGAAUAGGUUCUACUGGGACAGUGGCCCGUUGCUUUUCAGAGACUUUCUCUUCGAGCUUAAUUUUCCUCCCACUGCCUCUAUCAAGGAUAAACUGUUUUUCCAAGAAGACAGCAUGUCGGCUCACAAACACUUUGUGAUCGUCUGGGACGUAAAAAUUGUAUCCUAAUGACUCUUUAAGAUAUCCUAUAAAACAAGCACUAAUUGUCCUAGCCUCUAACUUGUGCGCCUGUUGUCGCUUGACGUGGGCUGGACAUCCCCAAAUCUUGAGAUGACCAAGACUUAGCUUUUUACCAUGCCAUAUCUCAUACGGUGUGUGUUGUCCAGUUCCUGUUUACCUAAAAAUACGCUAAACAGAUCGUUGUUAGAACCGACAAACAAAGUUUAAUUUAAUUAUACUCUUACCUUUUCUACUCGAAGAAUAGUGGUCGUAAGAGGUCGAUCCACAGGGAGGCGAUUGGAGUUGCAUAAAAAUUAAAACGUUCACUCGGAUUCAAAAUUGAUUUUUGAAUAACAAAAGAAAAACAUUACGUCGGGGAUGUUGACUGAUUCUCUGGUCUACCAGAAAAUGUUUUCUAUUUGAGAUUAACUAAAAGGCAGGUAUAGAUUUGAAAAGCAUUUAUAUAUUUAAUGAAAUAUUUAACUAUUCAGAGGAAAACUUGGGCAUGGAUGAAAACAGUGUUUAAGAAAAUUGAAACUUAGAACAUAGAGUGCAUAAAAAUAAAUUUAUGGAUUGCAUAAAAGGACAAUUACAAAAAAAUAAAAUGAAGUUUGGAAGCCUAGUGCCUCCUCCUUCUACAAAAUAAAACAUAAAAACAAAUGAAGAAAUAAAAGAAAUUAGAAAACUCCUCUGUGGCAUGCUCGAUGGCUAUAUUUUUUUUAUUUCUCUUUCUUCCAAAACAGAGGAUGCUCUGUUUUCUUUCUUUCUUCUCUCCCCCAACCGAACCCUCUCCUCCCCUCUUCUUCAACCGAACACCUCCCUCCUCCCUGGUUCUUAGCCUCCACCCCGCACACCUCCCUCCUCGUCUUCCCCUCUUUAUAUAGCCAACUCUCCCCCGGCUCACACCUGAUCUCACGGGAUGCUGGAAGGAUUGCUUCGGACGACUUCCUUCUUUGGACCACGGACGCAGGAUCGCCAGACGGCUGAUACGGAAGGCGCGGAGGAUUGGGAUGCGGUGGUUGCUGGGACGGUGGCUGGCACGGAAUGCUUGAUUCGUGGAGACGAUUGGGCGCUAAUCCGCUCUGUGAACGCGGACAGAUGAAGGUGGAGGGAGCUGAUCGCUGGCUCACGGACGGCUGGGAUUGGAUCCGGAUGCGUCACGGGCGGAAGCAGAGGCGGAGGAGCUGCAAACGGACGCUGGGAACGUGGACUUCCUUCUUUGGCCACGGGAUGAUUUAGAAUGGAGCUUGGAAUCGCUCAGAAUGGCAGCUGGGUUGGCAUGUGGAGACAUGCUGGAAUGGAAGGUUGCUACGGCUGGAGGUGCGGACGGAUCGCGGGAUUCCGGACGGUGGAUCCGGAUGAUGGGUGCUGGGAUCACGGACUUGGGAAGAUGCCGAGGAUGAAACGGGAGAUGGGACGCUGGGAUGGAAUAUGCCACGGGAUGCUGUGGGCGUUGAAGAUGUUGAUCCGUGGAAGAUGGACGUGGGAGGUUGGAUCACGGAAGUGGAGAACUUUUUGGAAUGGACGGUUGGUGGCUCCUUGAUGGAAAGAAACAGAGGAUGACGUGGCUUGAGGCGUUGGGAUUGAAGGCUGAAGAUGAAGAUGCUAAUUUGGAAGGUGCAUGCGGACGGGAUGCCGGGAGCUGAAACGGAAGGUAAUUCGAUGGACGGUGCGGAUGCUGGGACAUCGCAACGUGUUGAAGACGUGAUGCUGAUGAUGAACCGUGGGAUGGCUAGCACAAUGUGGGGAAUCACUUGGGGGCAAAUGUGUUCGACCAGGUUAUGGUAGGAUUGGGCCUGCGCAAUCUGUACCAAAUGCGCAUUUAAACUUUAAUUUGUAAUAACCUGUACCAAACGAAAAUAUAAUAUUAAACUGGUGAAUUUAUCAUUAUCAGUUAAUAAUAGCACUAAUUUAGGUGAUAUGUAGAUCGCACUUUUGUGCUCUCAUCACACCCCCCAACUAGUUUAUUGCUAGUCUCUAGCGAUUAACAAGCAAGCGAUUAAAUGAGGGCACAAAAAGAUGUAGUCUAACUUAUAGGCUUUUUCUUUUUUUUCUAAUUGAAGCUAAAUACACAAAACUAAGAUAUGUACCCAUUUUCGUAGGGAAUCACGAUUGCACUUAGCAUGUGCGACAAGCCUUUAAACCCCUAGGUUAUCCUAGUGGACGAGUGUUGUCUCGUGAGGGUUUACAGUGAAGUUAUCCACAAACUUCAUCAGUCAGGGAUUUCCAAUUUUUAACUCGAAAUUUGAAUAAGUAUUACUGUAUGAAACUAGAAUUGCAAGGACUAUAGAGACUUGUUGCUAUCAUAUUUAAGCAGAGUCUAACUCAAGUUUCAUUACAUCCUAUCUGUCUGCUAACAAGUCAAGAAUGUAGUGAGGUGCAAGAUAGUAUCAUAUAAAUGAAUGGCUUUCACUUACUUCCAACAUGAUCACUUCAAUUUUCAAGACUUUCUAGAGUUAGCUGGUAAAGAACAUCCUAGAUUUAUUAAUUUUUAUUUUUUUUAUUUUUAUUUAUUUUAUUAUUUAUUUUAUAUUUUUUUUCAAUCAGAUUGAAUGCUAAGAAGAAUGACUUGUGCAAUAUCUAGCCUUAUUAAGCUUUCUAGCUAACCCAUGUAGCGAGUGUUAGGCCAAUAACUCCCGAUCCAGAUGGCUCAGGGCAUUAGGUGUAAAGACACCCUAACAGGCUUAAUAACUCAAGUCAACUAGGCUCCAAAGCUAAAUUAGUCAACUAGGCUCCAAAGACACCCCACUAUUUAUGUGCUUACGUGUAGGUGCUAAAUCAUCUUCUAUCAUAUUAGCAGAGGAUAGGUGGGACGAAAACUCAAGCUAGAACUACUAUCAUAUUAUUUAACUCAAAGCUAUUGUCAAAGCAAUUCCUAGUUUAUACGGCCAAAAAGAUUAGAAUUUGAGUUAAAAAUUUGAAAUCCCCCUUUUUUUCUUUAAAUCUUUUUUAUUUUUAUUUUUAUUUUUUUUAAGGUAGAAAAAUCAAAAAUAUUCUCACCCCCAUACCUAAAUCUAAUAUUGUCCCCAAUGUUAAAGAAAUUUUAAAGCAGUAAUAGGACAGAGGAGAAGUUACCUGACAUUGGUAGGUAAAUUGACAAUUGGGGUAAAAACCCCCAAACCUGCAUGUUAGUAAUUUAUUGAAUUAUUAUUAUUAUUAUUAUUAUUAUUAUUUAUUUAUUUUUUUAUAUAUAAUAUUUACAUGUUGGGUUGCCUCCCAAGAGCGCUNNNNNNNNNNNNNNNNNNNNNNNNNNNNNNNNNNNNNNNNNNNNNNNNNNNNNNNNNNNNNNNNNNNNNNNNNNNNNNNNNNNNNNNNNNNNNNNNNNNNNNNNNNNNNNNNNNNNNNNNNNNNNNNNNNNNNNNNNNNNNNNNNNNNNNNNNNNNNNNNNNNNNNNNNNNNNNNNNNNNNNNNNNNNNNNNNNNNNNNNNNNNNNNNNNNNNNNNNNNNNNNNNNNNNNNNNNNNNNNNNNNNNNNNNNNNNNNNNNNNNNNNNNNNNNNNNNNNNNNNNNNNNNNNNNNNNNNNNNNNNNNNNNNNNNNNNNNNNNNNNNNNNNNNNNNNNNNNNNNNNNNNNNNNCAAAGACCUUGGAUCCUAUCAGAUAGGGACGAAAUUUGUCAAGAGCAAAGACAACAGCCUACAACUCUUUUUCAGUGGUAGAAUAGUUGAGUUGGGCAUCAUUCAUAGUUUUGCUCGCAUAAUGAAUCACAUGGGGAAGCUUCCCCACUCGCUGACCUAGGACGGCACCUAUUGCAUAAUCAGAUGCAUCACACAUAAUUUCAAAUGGUAGAUUCCAAUCAGGGGAUCUUAUGAUGCGUGCUGAGGUUAGUUCAGACUUUAGUCUUUCGAAAACAGUUAUACAAGUUGGCGAAAAAUUAAAAAUAGCAUCUUUGGCCAACAAAUCACAUAAGGAUUUUGAUAUUUUGUUGAAAUCCUUAAUAAAGCGGCGGUAAAAACCCGCAUGCCCUGAAAAUGAUCGAAUUUCCCUAAUAGUCUUGGAAGGUGGCAAUUUAGCAAUUAAUUCUAUUUUGGCCUUAUCCACCUCAAUUUCCCCUUUGUGACACAAUGUGUCCUAAAACAAUACCUGAUUCUACCAUGAAAUGACACUUCUCCCAGUUAAGAACUAAGUUUUUCUCUUUACAGCGUUCUACAACAAGUGUCAAGUGGUGUAGACAUUCAUCAAAAUUGGAUCCAAAUACAGAAAAAUCAUCCAUGAAAACUUCUAAAAAUUUCUCCACCAUGUCGGAGAAAAUACUCAUCAUACACCGCUGGAAUGUAGCCGGUGCAUUGCAUAACCCAAAAGGCAUGCGACGAUAGGCAAAAGUGCCAUAAGGAUAGGCGAAUAUGGUUUUCUCUUGAUCCUCACGUGCAAUUGAAACUUGGUUAUAUCCAGAAUAACCAUUAAGAAAACAGUAAUGAGAGUGGCUAGCUAGACAUUCUAACAUUUGGUCAAUGAAGGAUAGUGGGAAGUGGUCUUUCCUAGUCAUGGCGUUCAGCUUUCUGUAGUCGAUGCACACUCGCCAUCCAGUUUGGACUCGAGUAGGGACUAACUCAUUGUGAUCAUUUUUUACCACAGUGAUGCCAGACUUUUUGGGUACGACUUGAACUGGGCUUACCCACUGACUAUCAGAAAUAGGAUAUAUAAUCCCUGCAUCUAAAGCUUGAUGACCUCGGCUCGAACUACGNNNNNNNNNNNNNNNNNNNNNNNNNNNNNNNNNNNNNNNNNNNNNNNNNNNNNNNNNNNNNNNNNNNNNNNNNNNNNNNNNNNNNNNNNNNNNNNNNNNNNNNNNNNNNNNNNNNNNNNNNNNNNNNNNNNNNNNNNNNNNNNNNNNNNNNNNNNNNNNNNNNNNNNNNNNNNNNNNNNNNNNNNNNNNNNNNNNNNNNNNNNNNNNNNNNNNNNNNNNNNNNNNNNNNNNNNNNNNNNNNNNNNNNNNNNNNNNNNNNNNNNNNNNNNNNNNNNNNNNNNNNNNNNNNNNNNNNNNNNNNNNNNNNNNNNNNNNNNNNNNNNNNNNNNNNNNNNNNNNNNNNNNNNNNNNNNNNNNNNNNNNNNNNNNNNNNNNNNNNNNNNNNNNNNNNNNNNNNNNNNNNNNNNNNNNNNNNNNNNNNNNNNNNNNNNNNNNNNNNNNNNNNNNNNNNNNNNNNNNNNNNNNNNNNNNNNNNNNNNNNNNNNNNNNNNNNNNNNNNNNNNNNNNNNNNNNNNNNNNNNNNNNNNNNNNNNNNNNNNNNNNNNNNNNNNNNNNNNNNNNNNNNNNNNNNNNNNNNNNNNNNNNNNNNNNNNNNNNNNNNNNNNNNNNNNNNNNNNNNNNNNNNNNNNNNNNNNNNNNNNNNNNNNNNNNNNNNNNNNNNNNNNNNNNNNNNNNNNNNNNNNNNNNNNNNNNNNNNNNNNNNNNNNNNNNNNNNNNNNNNNNNNNNNNNNNNNNNNNNNNNNNNNNNNNNNNNNNNNNNNNNNNNNNNNNNNNNNNNNNNNNNNNNNNNNNNNNNNNNNNNNNNNNNNNNNNNNNNNNNNNNNNNNNNNNNNNNNNNNNNNNNNNNNNNNNNNNNNNNNNNNNNNNNNNNNNNNNNNNNNNNNNNNNNNNNNNNNNNNNNNNNNNNNNNNNNNNNNNNNNNNNNNNNNNNNNNNNNNNNNNNNNNNNNNNNNNNNNNNNNNNNNNNNNNNNNNNNNNNNNNNNNNNNNNNNNNNNNNNNNNNNNNNNNNNNNNNNNNNNNNNNNNNNNNNNNNNNNNNNNNNNNNNNNNNNNNNNNNNNNNNNNNNNNNNNNNNNNNNNNNNNNNNNNNNNNNNNNNNNNNNNNNNNNNNNNNNNNNNNNNNNNNNNNNNNNNNNNNNNNNNNNNNNNNNNNNNNNNNNNNNNNNNNNNNNNNNNNNNNNNNNNNNNNNNNNNNNNNNNNNNNNNNNNNNNNNNNNNNNNNNNNNNNNNNNNNNNNNNNNNNNNNNNNNNNNNNNNNNNNNNNNNNNNNNNNNNNNNNNNNNNNNNNNNNNNNNNNNNNNNNNNNNNNNNNNNNNNNNNNNNNNNNNNNNNNNNNNNNNNNNNNNNNNNNNNNNNNNNNNNNNNNNNNNNNNNNNNNNNNNNNNNNNNNNNNNNNNNNNNNNNNNNNNNNNNNNNNNNNNNNNNNNNNNNNNNNNNNNNNNNNNNNNNNNNNNNNNNNNNNNNNNNNNNNNNNNNNNNNNNNNNNNNNNNNNNNNNNNNNNNNNNNNNNNNNNNNNNNNNNNNNNNNNNNNNNNNNNNNNNNNNNNNNNNNNNNNNNNNNNNNNNNNNNNNNNNNNNNNNNNNNNNNNNNNNNNNNNNNNNNNNNNNNNNNNNNNNNNNNNNNNNNNNNNNNNNNNNNNNNNNNNNNNNNNNNNNNNNNNNNNNNNNNNNNNNNNNNNNNNNNNNNNNNNNNNNNNNNNNNNNNNNNNNNNNNNNNNNNNNNNNNNNNNNNNNNNNNNNNNNNNNNNNNNNNNNNNNNNNNNNNNNNNNNNNNNNNNNNNNNNNNNNNNNNNNNNNNNNNNNNNNNNNNNNNNNNNNNNNNNNNNUGAUUUUUGGGCUAAGGACAGGUAAUGAUUUUCCGACCUUAUCUUUUUAAUGGGUUUUACCCUUAAAUUAUUUUAUGCAAAUGCUUAAUACUAAAUGCAGCAAAUAAUCAAUGAUUUUUUUUAAAGUUUAUGCAAUGUCAUUAGGUUGUACUGAUUAAAUGAGCAAGCAAUUUUUUUAUAUAUAUAUUUAUUUUUUUAAAUUUUAUGUUAUAUAUAUAUAGGAAUAACUUGAAUGUAAACUAAAAACUAAUUCUUAUGCGUUAGUGAAUCUCCGAAUGCCCGUUGAAUAAGCUUUGGAGAUUACUCCGUGAGGAGCCCCAAUAGAGGCAUGAUAACCUCGAGGGAUUGCACCCUAUCAAUUACUAACAAUUUUAAUAAUAAUUUUUUUAUUUUUUAUUUUUAAUUUAAUUAAUUUUUUUAACUUUUUUUAUAUUUCAAAUUUCGAAUUUCAGAAUUCAAAUUUUGAAUCUAAAUUUUUGAAUUUUAAUAUUUUUGGUAUUUUUUUAUUUUUUUUGAAUUUNNNNNNNNNNNNNNNNNNNNUGAGGAGCCCCAAUAGAGGCAUGAUAACCUCGGAGGAUUGCACCCUAUCAAUUACUAACAAUUUUAAUAAUUAAUUUUUUUUUAUUUUUUAUUUUAAUUUAAUUAAUUUUUUAACUUUUUUUAUAUUUCAAAUUUCGAAUUUCAGAAUUCAAAUUUUGAAUCUAAAUUUUUGAAUUUUAAUAUUUUUGGAUUUUUUUAUUUUUUUUGAAUUUGAUUUUUUUUCAAAAUUUUAAAUUUCGAAUUUCAAAUUUCAGAAUUUAAUAACUACGAAAUUAUUAACUAAAAAUAAUCAAAACAAGAAAAAUUAAUAGAAAUAAACAAAAACUUACUACCGGAGUGUGUUCACUCCGGGCAUCCAAAAUUUGAUUUGAUCUUCGUGAUCGUUAUUGCUUCUCAAUUUGCCUCCCCGGUAACGACGCCAAAAUUUUGUUGUCCAGUUCCUGUUUACCUAAAAAUACGCUAAACAGAUCGUUGUUAGAACCGACAAACAAAGUUUAAUUUAAUUAUACUCUUACCUUUUCUACACGAAGAAUAGUGGUCAUAAGAGGUCGAUCCAUAGGGAGGCGAUUGGAGUUGCAUAAAAAUUAAAACGUUCACUCGGAUUCAAAAUUGAUUUUUGAAUAACAAAAAAAAUCAUUACGUCGGGGAUGUUGACUGAUUCUCUAGUCUACCAGAAAAUAUUUUCUAUUUGAGAUUAACUAAAAGACAAGUAUAGAUUCGAAAAGCAUUUAUAUAUUUAAUGAAAUAUUUAACUAUUCAGAGGAAAACUUAGGCAUGGAUGAAAACAGUGUUUAAGAAAAUUGAAACUUAGAACAUAGGUUGCAUAAAAAUAAAUUUAUGGAUUGCAUAAAAGGACAAUUACAAAAAAAAUAAAAUGAAGUUUGGAAGCCUAGUGCCUCCUCCUUCUACAAAAUAAAACAUAAAAAUAAAGGAAGAAAUAAAAGAAAUUAGAAAACUCCUCUGUGGCAUGCUCGGUGGCUAUAUUUUUUUAUUUCUCUUUCUUCCAAAACAGAGGAUGCUCUGUUUUCUUUCUUUCUUCUCUCCCCCAACCGAACCUCUCCUCCCCUCUUCUUCAACCGAACACCUCCCUCCCUGGUUCUUAGCCUCCACCCCGCACACCUCCCUCCUCGUCUUCCCCUCUUUAUAUAGCCAACUCUCCCCCGGCUCACACCUGAUCUCACGGGAUGCUGGAAGGAUUGCUUUGGACGAUUUCCUUCUUUGGACCACGGACGCGGGAUCGCCGGACGGCUGAUACGGAAGGCGCGGAGGAUUGGGAUGCGGUGGUUGCUGGCACGGUGGCUGGCACGAGAUGCUUGAUUCGUGGAGACAAUUGGGCGCUAAUCCGCUCUGUGAACGCGGACGGAUGAAGCCGGAGGGAGCUGAUCGCUGGCUCACAGACGGCUGAGAUUGGAUCCGGAUGCAUCACGGGCGGAAGCAGAGGCGGAGGAGCUGCAAACGGACGCUGGGAACGUGGACUUCCUUCUUUGGCCACGGGAUGAUUCGGAAUGGAGCUUGGAAUCACUCAGAAUGGCAGCUGGGCUGGCAUACGGAGACGUGCUGGAAUGGAAGGUUGCUACGGCUAGAGGUACGGACGGAUCGCGGGAUUCCGGACGGUGGAUCCGGAUGAUGGGUGCUGGGAUCACGGACUUGGGAAGAUGCCGGUGAUGAAGCGGGAGAUGGGAUGCUGGGAUGGAAUAUGCCACGGGAUGCUGUGGGCAUUGAAGAUGGAAGAUGUUGAUCCGUGGAAGAUGGACGUGGGAGGUUGGAUCACGGAAGUGGAGGAGAACAUUUUGGAAUGGACGGUUGGUGGCUCCUUGAUGGCAAAAAAUAGAGGAUGACGUGGCUUGAGGCGUUGGGAUUGAAGGCUGAAGAUGAAGAUGCUAAUUUGGAAGGUGCAUGCGAAUGGGAUGCCGGGAGCUGAAACGAAAGGUAAUCCGAUGGACAGCGCGGAUGCUGGGACAUUGCAACGUGUUGAAGACGUGAUGCUGAUGAUGAACCGUGGGAUGGCUAGCACAAUGUGGGGAAUCACUCGGGGGCAAAUGUGUUCGACCAGGUCAUGGUAGGAUUGGGCCUGCGCAAUCUGUACCAAAUGCGCAUUUAAACUUUAAUUUGUAAUAACCUGUACCAAACGAAAAUAUAAUAUUAAACCGGUGAAUUUAUCAUUAUCAGUUAACAAUAGCACUAAUUUAGUUGAUAUGUAGAUCGCACUUUUGUGCUCUCAUCAGUAUGGUAGGAACAGAUUUAGAGGGAACUCUAUUCAAUAUGUAUAUUGCUGAAAGUAGGGCAUCUCCUCAAAGGAAUAAGGGUAAAUCAGUGAAGCUCAUCAUGGACCUGACCAUAUCCAAUAGGGUCCGAUUCCUCCUCUCUGACACUUCGUUGAGUUGAGGUGUACAAGGAGGGGUCCAUUGUGAAACUAUACCAUUUUCUUUGAGAUAAUCUCGGAACUCUCUCCUAAGGUGUUAGCCUUCUCGAUCUGAUCGAAGAACCUUAAUGAGUUUUUCUGUUUGUUUUUCUACUUCAGAUCUGAACUCUUUGAACUUUUCAAAAGUUUCAGACUUGUGUUUCAUAAGAUACACAUACCCAUACCGAAAACAAUCAUUGGUAAAUGUUAUGAAGUAAGAAUAACCUUUUCUAGCUUGCACAUCGAAUGGGCCGCACACAUCAGUGUGUACUAGGGUAAGUAUUUCAUUGGAUCUCUCCCCGUGUCCUACAAAGGGUAAUUUGGCCAUUUUUUCUUGAAGGCAGGAUUCAUAAAUCGGAUAUAACUCGGAAGUUAAUGAGCCUAGAAGCCCAUGUUUCUCCAAUUUGUUUAUUCUGUCUUCUCCUAUAUGACCAAACCUGAGGUGCCAAUUUGAAUUCAAAAUCUUUCUAUGCUAGAAAAGAUACAGAAAUCAAUUUUCUGCUAGCAACAUGUACAAAAUAACAGUCCCUAAGUAUCAAACUAAAUCUAGACGGCAUUCGCAGAGGGUAGGUGCCCACAGCAACAGCAGCAACUUUUGCUCCAUUGCUAACCCGGAGGGUUAUCGCACCUUCCGUAAGCCUUCUACUUUCCUUUAGAUCCUGCAUAGUAGUGCACAAGUGAGCACUAGAACCAGAAUCUAUAACCCAACUGGAAGUAGAAGAAACCGUUAGAUUAGUUUCAAUAAUGAGCAUAUCUGACAUACCUUCAGAAGGCGUGUCACCCUUCUUGCUCUUUAUGCUCCCCAUGUAGAUAGGACAGUUCCUCUUCCAAUGACCGUCUUCGUUGCAAUGAAAACACUUUUCCUUGUCUGCGGUCUUUUUCUUUGGACAUCCUUCUUUGGCUUCUUCUCGGUCUUCUGCUUCUUUGCAGAUUUCUUCUUUCAAGCAGACUUUCUCUUGAAAGUAGAAGUCAACUCGGCAGUGAGAACUGUGCUCCUUGAACUCUUCAAGGCUCCCUCAGUUGUUACCAAUAUAUUUAACAAUUCAAGUUUGGUGCAUUCAAUCUUGUUCAUGUGGUAGUUUACAAUAAACUGCCCAUAUGAAGAAGGAAGGGAUUGCAGGAUCAAAUCAGUUUGCAAUUCAUUAUGCAUGUUCAUGCCGAGCUUCUCAAACUCUUCCAAGUCCUUUAUCAUGGUCAGACCAUGAUCAUGGACAGACUGCCCUUCGCGCAUCUUGGUCUUGAAGAGCCUCUUGGACACUUCAAACCGAGCUGUGCGACUCUGCUCACCAUACAACUCUUGUAGGUGACGCAAUGUCCCUGGCAGUCUUCAUGUUCUUAUGCUGGCAUUAUAGUUCAUUGGACAUAGAUGCCAUUAUGUAGCACCUAACUUUAUUGUCGUCGUCCGUCCACUUGGCAUGUGUCUUACGCUGUUCAGCAGUCGGACGGGUUGGUAACACAGGGAUGUCAUGGUCUAGCACAUACCCUAAUUUCUCACAACUCAAAACAAUCUUCAAGUUGCGGAGCCAAUCCUUAUUGGGUCUGGUUAAUCGGUUGUUCUCAAGGAUGCGGGUCAAAGGAUUAGAGGCUGACAUUUUAUCUGCAGAGAGUAAAGAUUCUAAUUAGAAUUUUGUACUUGAAUUUUUAUUUGUUUUAGGGACCUUUUAAAACAAAACAGGAUCAAAUCCUUCCACUAUUUCUCGAAUCUCUCACACUCUUCUGGUAAGGAUACAGAAAUCUGCGACUCUAGGUUUCAAAUGGGGUGCUAUGGUCCUAUCAAUUUAUAUGCCACCUCACCUAACAGUUAUUGGUGACACAUAAACAAUGAGUGUACAACUCUUUGUACAAUGCCUCUCAAGCAAGUUGUAGCCUACUUGGUCUCCAAGUCAUAAGAACCUCACCUAAUAGUUAUUGGUCCCGUUCCUUGGUUAAGUCAGAUCCACUGUAAUUCCCGCAGAAGUAAAGUCGUCAUUGAGCCCUCACCUAACAGUUAUUGGUACUCAACCCCACCUCUACCCUACAACAUCUCAUGCCAAUAGAAAGAUCCAGUCCCCCGAUGCAACUUGCCCGCUGUGUCCAGCCGAGACAAAUCAACGCCGGAAAGAUCUUAGCAACUCUACUAUGGUGGAAGACCUCUAGACUUAAUAUUGGGUAAUCUAGUCUUAGUGAUUCCAACUUUGAGCUAUUCAUAGGAGAUAAUCGAUCAAUUGGCCAGGUAAGCAGGUGGGAGGCUCCCCUUACUCAGAGAGUAAGGUCCUAAUUAAGUACCAUCUUUAAUGCUUUCCUAGACACCAAUUAGAUCAAUUAAUCAAAUAUGGCUAGCUCAAUAUAUCGUUCACUUUCGACUGAUUGAGGAGGUUUUAGGUCUUAAAGGAUUUACAUCUAAUGUAAUAAUCUAUCCCAAACCAAAUGUUAUAUUAUUACAUCUUAUGCAAAUGUCACAUUGGUUCAAGUUUACAUCCUAUGUAAAUAUGAAACUCUUUUAUAGAUUAUGUGAUUACAUCUUUUGUAAAUGACAUAAUUGUUUCAGUUUACAUCUUAUGUAAAUGUUCUAUUGUUUAAGAAUUUUAUUUACAUCUCAUGCAAAUAAAUUCUGUUUAACUAAUACAUACAUCUCAUGCAUACAUUUUAAACACAUCCUCAAACAGGGAUUGACUCAUGUAUGCUUGGAGUCGACUCGAGUUAACUUUGAGUCGACUCGAGUUGACGUAGAGUCGACUCGGGUGGACUUCAGUUAACCCGAGAGCUCCUGAGUCUCUUGGAGUCGAUUCGAGUAUACUUGGGGUCGACUCGAAUAGAAUUGGAGUCGACUCGAGUAUGCUUGGAGUCGACCCGAUUAGUCUUGGAGUCGACUCGAGUGUGUUUGGGUCGACUCAGCUAGUCUUGGAGUCGACUCGAGUAUGCUUGGGGUCGACUCGAAUAGGAUUGGAGUCGACUCGAGCAUGCUUGGGGUCGACUCUUCUCACGUGAAUUCUGAAUUUUGAUUCCAUUAGAUGCAUCUCAUGCAUCUAAUUUCCGAUCUAAAAAAUUUAGAUAUGCUAUCAACUGAAAUUAUGAUCAUGCAAGACAUGUUUUUAUUAUUUGCAAUCUCAUUGUUUUAAUUAAAACAACGUGCAAGAUCAAGAUUUAAAAAAAAAUCUGCAUGCUAAAAUUUCAGCAAGCAUAUAAAAAUUUCAGAUCUAAAUUAAAUCCUAAUCAUGCCUAUUAAUCUUAAUUUAAAUUUCUUAAACACAGCUCUGAUACCACUGUCGGAUUACCCCCGCACGCGUUGCGACGAUCGCAGCGGAAAGACACGCGCGGGGUUGUUCAUCUCAUGAACGUUCUAGGAAACAUAGAUUUCAAAAAUUUUCUAAAGUUCUCUAUCCCAGAUUUAUGAAAUCUAAAGGAAAGAUUAAAAUUAAAAGACUAGAUUAAUUUCAGAUCUACUACAAUUCCUAAUUGUAUAGAAUUUAUAAACACUUAAUCUUUACCUUUGAGUGGGUAGAACUUCACCGCUGUCUAAUGAUCGUAGGAUUUCUGGUUCUCUUGAAGCCGCACAAGCGUCCGACUUCUACAGGUAUCCACACGAGGUACAAAUGCUCCAAGAUCUCACCGGGGUGCUAGCUCCCUUGCAGAGAUCACCUUUGAUGGUUGAAUUCCUCUCUUUUAAUCAACUCCUUGAUUACUUUGAGAGGAAGAAGAAGGAAGACGACGAACGUCGAAGGGGAGGAAGAAGAAGACGGCGGCUCUUCUUCUUUCUCUCUUGCUCACGCCAAAGGGAAGAAGGAGGGAGAGGAUGGCGGCAGCAAAGGGGCUUCAAUACUCUUAUGCUUCAUGCCAGGGCCCUUUAAAUAGGCAUCUCAUGCCCAUACAAACAAGAAAUAAUUUCAGAGAUCAAUCACUCCUUGAUUCAUCCAUCCAAAAUCUGCAACACCCCUUAAUUCUAUCACAACCUUUACUUAAAAGAGUUUGAAGAGAAUCCAAGAGAUGUGCUCAUGCCAUGUGGCAAUCCGCGUGAACCAGGAGGAGGAGGAGAUCCACCCCUCCACAUGGCGUGGAGACCAUGAAAGGAAAGGAGGGGCAGACGCCCCUCCUUUCUUGGUGCGUGUGUGAGGAGGGGCGGAUGCCUGUCCCUCUAUCAUGGAUCCCGACAUGACGGAGGUUAUGGAUAACUCGUCAAACUCCAUUGUUUGUCUUAUGUCGGAUUUAUUUGACUCAAGUUCGAGAGUGGAAAACUCCUUUUCUAGAACUGCUCUGGCCAAGGUCUUUCGAACUUAGUCUCAUAAAUCACAUAGGAUCUCUCCUAAUCUAUCAAGGUUCCCAUCUAGGUGCAGCCCUAAUCCGACAGUGAACUUACCGCAGCCAAGCUGCACCACAAGGACCAUUAGGGCAAAUGUUUAUGUGCUCGUCAAACUACAGCAACCUCACCGUGAUUAGCUGAGGCAUCACAGGUCUAAGUACUAGUCAUACAACUGCAGCAUCAAGUAAGUCACCGACGAGUGGAUAGACAUCCAAGUGACUUCUUGCUUUGGUCACGCUCAGUAUCUUUGUUCUUUAACAAGCACUUGCACAAUCAUCCCAGUGUUGCCACAUGUUGGACUUAAGACUCGUCCAUCAAGAAAAGUGAUCUGUGCACUAAUCUUAUCGGAUCGAUCACCGUCCUUUGUGAUGAUCCUUCGAUCAGGAGCAGUUCAGGAAUUACCUAAUGACACAUGUCUUAAAUUCUCAACUCUUGAGAAUAUGUGUUAUUAUCUCAUUAAUUCCUAGGACGAUUCAUGAACACAUAAUAACAUUAAUGAAAAGAAGACCCAAUUUUAUUGAUGAAUAAAAUGAUCAAGUACAGUUGUUAUGUCCUAGAAUUAAUACAAUGCAUCUGCCAUAUUGGCUUCUAGGGCAUACUUCUAACACGUAUACCUCCUCAUAUGAUUUCUAUUAAAAACUUGUUCCUAUCUCAUUCUUAUACCAAGAAUAGUUAGUCUUUUAUUUGUAUGAAUAUGCAUGUAGUUCAUGCAUGAGUGCAGUUAAAUGCUCCGAAUCUACACAUAAACCUACCAUUAUCUGCAUGUUUCCAGUUUAGAGUUGAAAAUGUGUUUGAUCUACUAACAUUGUUAUGCGGUAGACUUAACCACAUCAUGCUUUAGCUGUUAGAUGGUCAUUGUUUCUUGAUAUAGAUAUACAUGAGUGUAGUUGAAUGCUCUGAAUCUACACUUAAACCUACCAUUAUCUGCAUGUUUCCAGUUUAGAGUUGAAAAUGUGUUUGAUCUACUAACAUUGUUAUGCGGUAGACUUAACCACAUCAUGCUUUAGCUGUUAGAUGGUCAUUGUUUCUUGAUAUAUAUAUAUAUAUAUAUAUAUAUAUANNNNNNNNNNNNNNNNNNNNUAUAUAUAUAUAUAUAUAUAUAUAUAUAUAUAUAUACAAGCUAAUUUUGUCACCUCCCUCUCAUUUGUAUAUAUUUGUAAACUUCAUUUUGUACAGUGUCAUUGACAUGACCCACUUGACCCACACACUCGACAUUAUACACAGUUUGAUACGUUGGUUUUAACUACUCAUGGGCUGUAGAUCAUGGCUAAGGAGAAUGAGCACUUUGCAGUUAUACCCGUAAUGGUGAAUUAUGGGUUGUUUGACCUUAAAUCAUAUCUAGCUGUUAUGGUAAUCUGAGACAUGCAAAUUAGAUAUGCUUAGGUCAUUUCUGCGGGUCCAGUCAGAUGUUGCCACUUUUUACGGAUGCCAUCAAAAGUCAUGACUGAAACCAUAGCAUUCGUGGUCAUGCAUUUACUCUACAUGAUAGCUACGUCAUACAAGAAGUUUAAAGGUCACAGUGUUAGGCAAGUUGAGUAUGUUAUUCAUACAAUAUACAGUGAAUAGUUGCAAUUGCCAUGCAACUGGUGAGUGAGUCAGUUAAUCCACUUUUUGGAGUGAUCUUAAGUUGAGACUAGCAUGGAAUGACUUAUGAAAAAAAAAUGAAAAACUUGGGAUUUUCCCCUCUUAUUCCCUUCCAAAAAACAAAAAUUUAUGAAUGACAACUCUAGUGAGUGUUUAGACACCUCUAAAAUGUUCCCUAUACCAUCAGCUUGUUGAUAAUAGCUAAAUUAAAUUCAUGGCCUUAACUGAGUUAAGUCAAAUAGCUGAUCUAAUUUCAGCGGUCACCUUGUUUCUUGGUGAAGAAAUAAGCUAUCACCUUUCGGGGAUUCUUUUGUUUCAUUUAUUCUUCAUUUUUUCUGUGCUUUGAUUGUGAAGCUUAUGCUCUUAAGGACACUCCAGUGUAUAUGGGAGCAAUAAUUUGGAGCAUGGUUUUAACUUCCUACCUUGCUGGCUGGCAUGUACCAUGCCGAACCAGUAACACACUUGGCAAAGGUUGACAGGCAUGUAUUAUUUUUAGUAUUUCUAAUUAAGAAAAGGCUUUUUUCUUCUCUUUCUUGCUCUCUUGUGUUUCAGCAUGGAACAGCUGGUUUGCUAAAAUGGCAUGGUAUGAUACAUGUUGUGCCAUGCUGGCCAUUGGCUGAUAUGUUUUGUGUAGAUGGAAGUUACAUCUUUGUUUUGGAGUAAAUGUGCCAUACUUAAAGCAGCAUAUAUUAGGCAUAUGCGUCAUACCUUAUAUUGUGUAUCUUAUUAGAGGUGGAUGUAUCAUUGUUGAACUCUUAGCAGCUGAUAUCUUCUCCUUAUUAGCUGAUAAAAGAAGGUUACCUUGGCCUUGGGUAAGGCUACCGUAACUAGUAAUUACUAUAGCUAAUAAAGUUUGAGUGAAUAAUAUAAUUAACUAUGAUAAUUUGGGCCUCGGAAAUAUUAGAGAAAAAGGAAAGAAAAAUGAUUCUGUUUGUUUUGAUGAUCUUCAAUCUUCACAAAUAUGAAGCUCAAGGUUUUAAAUACCAUGGUGUCCCAAUUUCUCCACGGAAGGGGACAGCUUGUCCUAGUUGCCGUCUCGGUCGAGUGUCUUGGUAGGUACCUUUCAUCUCUUUCCCCUUCUUCUUUCUUUUCUUUCUUUCUUUCUCAUUUAUUUAUUUUUCUUCUUUUUUUCUUCCUCUCUUUCCUUUUUCUUCUUUUUUUCUUUUUCCUUCAUUCAUUUCUUUCUUUCUUCCUUUUUUUUCUCCCUUCCUUUCCUUUUUUUUUUCUUUUUUCCCCUUCCUUUGUUCUUUCCUUCCUUUCUUUUUCUUCUUCUCUUCCUUCCUUUCUUUCCUUUUCCUUCUUCUUUCCUUUCUUUCUUUCUUUCCUCUUUCAUCUUCUUCCCCAUGUGGAUGUCCCUUUCCUGGUCCCAUUUUCUCAUAUGAACGGACUGAAUGGCCGGGAGUCCCCCAUCUUGCCAUGACCUAAAACCUUGAUGAAGAUACACUUCCAACCUAUGUCAAUUCCUGAAUCAUAUACUUAAAGGUUGUGAUCUGUGCAUUUUUUCCAGAAUUUGAAUUGUCAUUUUACCUAGCCCGUUUUCAAUGUUAUCAUCUUUUCUUGAUCUUCUUUACCAUUCAGUAUAUGAUUAAAAAAUUUACUGAUUGUCUCACACUAGCAAGAACUUAUAGGCUUUUCCUGUUGCUUCUAUCCUUUAUUCACGAGAUGUUACAUGACAAUAAAUCAUGAUUCAAACUCUGUUUUAUGCUGUGUGUGAUGUAUCCAUGGAUUUGAAAAUAUGGAUAUGUGGAGCUUCAAAAAUGCCCUCCACUCUGGAGUUUUGGUUAUAUGGCAGUGGCGAUGUCACUUUUUGGACAAGUGUACAGUGACCAUAAAUAUUGCCUUGAAAAAAGGAAUGACAAUAAAUGAUUUAUGCAUUCAACAAGCAAAUAGUUGGGUUAAGGCUUAUUGGAUAUUGAUUUAUUUACCAGGAAACAGUUUGUGGUGCAAUUCGAAGGGAUAGGUGUUAUGAGGUUCCUAUUUGGGAAUUUGGACGAUAGAACUCCCGCUAUAGCUCUGCUAAUAGAGUGAUAAUGGCGCUUAAUGAUGGAGAUUGGUCAUAAUAAAUGGAUGGGAGUUACGGAAAGCAUGAGAAAUUAAUUUGGGUGGCUGUGAGUUCAAAUCCGUCAAAGGAGCAAAGGGGUGUGCAUAUGAUGGUGCAAGUGCCAUAUUUUAAAAAAGGUAGGUUGGUUUUGGAGGUUGGAAGCUCAUAAUGGCCCACCAUUUUCCCUCUAGAAGGAGUGAAUAAUUGUUUGCAUGCGAAGUUCUUGGGGAUUAUAUUAAAUUGAUGGCAUGUUUUUGUCUCUUUAAUAAAGGCGAAGCAGAUAAACUUGUUUGGAGCAAAAACUUCACGUCUAAGUAUGUUUUCAUCUCACUAGCUAUAUACCUUUACUUUUGUGUAGAUAUAGUGUUUUGGUAGAGAAAACUGGACAAUACAAAGUCAUUGUCUCUGCUGCUGCUUCUUAGUUGUUUCUUCAAAAAUAUUAUUGCUUUUGGAUAUGCAGUGGACAUAGUCAGCCUCCACUGUCUUCUUAAUGAAGUUGCACUUAAUACAAAGACAAGGUAUAAUAUAUAAUUCAUUUGAGGCGAGCGAUGGCUUCGAGAUUUUGUUGAGAGAGGAGUGGUAAACCAUGUGCAAGUAAAUUUAUGUGGAUGCUUAUCUUUAUCUGUAUAAGAAUAGUAUUUGAUCACAUGCAUUAGAUGUUGGUUUAAAAGGUUGACAUUAUUUUUAUUUAUAUAUAAAUUAUAUAAACAAUUGUAAUGAAAAUUUUUUAUAAAAGAGAUAAAGUUAUGUACAGGAUAUUGCUUUAGAAUGGACAAUUAUCCUUUUGGAUUUUCUAUAAUUUUGCAAAAUCAGUAUACGUUAAAAAUUUAUGAUGGCACAUUAAUCUAUUGCCUUUUCAUUACUUCCUGUUAUAAUGGUUAGAAGUGCUUGUUAUAACAGCCAUUAUUAUAUUUUAAGAAAUAUCAGGUCAAUGGUUUGAUUUGGUUAAUUAUCGCCCAUUUUUUUAGUAUGACAGUAAAUAAGAUUUUUGAAUGUGGUCCAUUAACAGGGAUGUUGAUCUAAUUGAAAUCUUGAUUUAUGCAUAGUAACAUUCUCAAAUAAAAAAUGAAUCUAACUGAUCGUUAGCUUUUCUUCUUUCCAUGAGUUUUCUGUUACCUUUUUCUUGUGUUACACAUUACAAAUCUUGCCUUUCUGGUGAUUUCUGUUUUAGGCGGUUACAUGAAACUAUAUGCCUUGAUUCGGGGAUUUGUGGAUCCUAAGAAAGGAUCAAUUUUGGAGUAUAUCGUGGGCAGUUUUUAGCAGGAUAAGAUAGUGAACGGUAAGUGUUUGGUAAGGCAUUAGUGGUUUUCAUCAAAGGUAUUUUGGAGAAAAAAGUGAGAUGGUGUCUUCCUUGAAUACUCAAAUCCAAAAGUCUCAUUUUUUAAUGUAUGAGAGGCACUGACACAAGCUAUUUUUUAAUUACAGGGGAUAAGAAUUGGUGAUAUUAUAUGGCAGAAAACAUGACAAUCAACUGGUCAGUAGAGAAUUUUGAUGUUGAACAGUUACUGGAUGUAGAUAAAAUUGUGGUUGAUUAGUUGUUUAGGGACCUUUCAAGAUUGGUUACAUGGUUCUUCACACUCUUCAAGACAUGUUGGCUAUCAAUAAAAUAGAUCAACAUGGAAUUUUGUUCCAAGAAUGCCACCGAUUGAUGACCUAAUUGUUAGCUAGCUCAUUUUGUCUUGCUUUCUGUUAAGAAGUUCUGAAAUCAAGAAUAUUGGGUGGUUCUUUCACAUGAAAAAGAUAUCAUGAGGAUGCAUUGCAGCAUUAGUUUCUGUUUAGUUUUCCAACAGUAUUAAUGGCUAAGAUCUUGGCAUAUUCUUUUUGGUCUUUUUGACCCUGAUUGUUUGUUUUCUAAUAUGUUUUAUGCUCUAUCUGCUGCUGAUUUUCUUUAUGGCCAUGGGUGCUUUUAUCAAUAUAUAUAUAUAAUCAUUCUUUUGAUGGCGUUCUGUAGGUUUACUAAUAUGCAGAAAUUCUGCUUUACUGUUGCUAGUAAUUUAAUGUUACGGCUAUAGUUUGAUCAGCAACACACAGAAUCCUUUUUCUUUAAAAAAUGAGAAAUGAGGGCUAUUUGUUCCACUCUUUGCCCCUGUUGCUAUUAGCCUGCACACUAGCCGACUGAUCAUAUCAUUUCAUGUAGGAACCAGUUUGCAGAACAUCUUUAUGGUUAUCCUGCAUCAGAAGCCAUUGGUCAGGAUGCCAUUGAGCUACUGGUUGAUGCCUGUAAUUUCAACAUUGCAAGCAACAUAAUCCAACGUAUAACCAUGGGGGAGAGCUGGACAGGCAAAUUCCCUGUCAAGAACAAGUCAGGAGAGCAAUUUUUAGCUAUUGCCACAAACACACCUUUUUAUGAUGAUGAUGGUAGUUUGGUUGGCAUCAUUUGUGUGUCAAGUGAUUCACGGUGCUUUCAGGAGACGACAUCCCCUCCAAGCUGUACAAAACCCCAAUCAACUGUCCGGAGUACGGCAAGUCAGCCUAGAAUCAGUUUAACAAGUAAAGGCAGUUCUGAUUCUGAGCAACCUUUCCAAGCUGCUAUUGCAUCCAAAAUAACCAAUCUGGUAAGUUAAUUUCUAUUACAAUUUCAUGCAACUAGAAGGAAGGUGGUAGAAUGUAGUAUAUGUCAUAAAAGCAUCUGGCGAUGUAUUUCAUAAUUAGAGAAAUCUGGAAUAUAUUGUGAAUUUAUCUUUUCUAGUGUAUUCUUUCUUAAUUUUUUGCAAUGCCAAACAGGCUACUAAGGUCACAAACAAAGUUCGUUCUCGGAUAAGGACAGGUGAAAGCAGUAUGGAACGUGAAUGUGGGAAUGGAGAGAGCCAAUAUUCUGACCACGAUGCUGUUUCAUCAGAGCACAAGGAGGAUGCUACUUCAAGUGGAGUUAGCUCACCGAGAGGUGACAUACCACCUUAUGCCUUAUGUACAUCUUCUUCUGCGGCCACGGAGGAAAAAUCUCCUGGAAAAGUAACUAAAGGUAAUAAUGAAGAGGUUGAAGGAAAGACAGGGUUUCAUAAGAUCAUAAGCUCGAAGGCAGAGGCAUUGUUAGCUAAGAAGGGGAUAUCAUGGCCCUGGAAAGGGUAUGAGUAUGAUGGUGCGGAUGUGAAGAAUCGCUUUGUCUGGCCAUGGGUGCACGGUGAUCAGGAAACUAGCUUGACUCAUCAAAGGGCUUUUGAAUCUAGUGUAAAGCCAGAAAGCCAAGUGAUUGAAAGCAACAGAACUGGCAAUAAUGAGGUUUCAGGAUCCGGGUCCUCUUUCAAUGUUAACAGUACAAGUAGUGUUAGCAGCAGUGGAAGUACCAAUAGCAGUGCUAUUCACAAAGCGGAUAUGGAUACUGACUGCUUAGACUAUGAGAUCUUAUGGGAAGACCUCACAAUUGGAGAACAAAUAGGUCAAGGUAGUUAUCUUCCCCUAUCAUGAAAACAACGGCAUUUAUUUCUUUGAGCACUAUUAGUUUAACCAGAAAUCAUGCAAUAGAUGAUUGCAACAAGCGUUCCUCUCUUGUUUUAUGAUCCUAGAUACGUAUUUUAGCUGUUGCUUUCUUUAUUCUUGUGGUCUCUUUAUUAUGGUUGCGAGCAAAAAUGUACUUUGUGAUGGUAACUUAUGGCCGUCGAUAUUUUACAAUGGAUUUGCGAUUCUUCUGUCACUUGUAUCUUAUAUUCAUUCCAUUGCUUUUUGUUCUUACUAUUAUUUCUUAGAAUAAUUUCAGAAGCAAUAUUGGCAUUACCUGCUUAGCCUCUUUUAUAAUUGAUAAGCACUUCACUGCAAGAUAUGCCGUACCGGCCCGUACCGAGUGGUUCGGGGCGUACCAUACCAGUUCGGCACUGGUAGCCAGUACGGGUGGCGUACUGAUAUUUGUUAUGCCAAAAAAAAUUUAUACUGUACCAUACCAAUACUGUGCUAGUGUGACACCUAUGGGGUCUGAUAUCGAGACGGCGAACCUUGCUUCACUGCCUGUACAGAUAGAUUGAGUAUCCUUGAUGUAUUGUUUGCUUAUAUUUGGUUAGUAGGUUCUUGGGUUAUACAUACACACACAUAUGUUACAUGCAUAAAAACAUAUGUUUGUGUGUAUGUGGAAGCUGGUUCAUGGUUAAUUUUCAUGUUUUGAUAUCGACUUUUUCCCAAUUGUCAGCCAGCUAGUCCUGGACAUCUGCCUGAUUAAUCAAACCUGCUCCAUAAGGUACCAGUACCUGGCAAUUUCUCUAUACAAUUACAGAUUUUCUGAAACACAAUUUCUAUGGUACUUUCUCAAGCUUUAUAUUCUGAAGUCCUGCAAUAGAGUUUUGGCUUACAUAUAUUUUGUUUAACUUUUUAUUGUGUUAUCAGUUAUCACGCUUUAUAAUGACUUUUGUAACUUUUAUUUUGUCACAGAAUUUUGCAUAAAGGUGAUGACUCUGUGCUUUUUUUAAUUAAUUCAAAAGUUCUCAUUGAGCUUCUUGUUUUAAGCAAUUUGAUUUCUAUGAAAGCUUGGAGCUAUGGAUUUUGGUCCAGUGUGAAAGUCAAAAUCUGAACGAUUGCUGGAAGUUAAUUGUAGUCUGUUAUGUUAAUAAUUAAUUACUUCAUCUUAGGAUUUCUAUUGCAUGCCUAUGUUUGUCAUUCUCUUGCUAGAGGGAACAAGAAGUACAUGCUGAAGAGUGGAUAUUUAGUGAAGAGGCAGUCAGGUUCUUGGCUUUUCAACUGGAAUUUUACUCUACCAUGAUAACCAAAGACCCCCUAAUCCAGGAGUAUGAAAUUUAUGUUCUGCAGUUUUUUCAUUAUACAAAUUGAAUCAGUGAUCCAGUGUGUCAUUUUGAAGAAGGUUUUAGAAUAUCAUACUCCGAAGUAAAAUGGAUGAUGUUGUGGAAGGCAUUCACAUAGUCACAUCUGAUGAAUUUUCUCAAAUUUCGGAUGCCAUCUGGGGCUAGUUACUGAAGCCCAAAAGAUAUUUGAAGAAGUUUUGGUGGUGCUUGCUUUCAUUACUUUUUGCUCCUCCUAUAAGAUGAAUAUCAUGACCCCCUUUCUCCACAGCCCCCACACAACAAACAUGCAGACAUGGGUAAAAGGAAGAAUUAGGUUGUGGAGGUUUGUUAAUAGGAGGAAUUUGGCCAACUUUAGCAUUUUUGAGCUUUGUAUGUCCUUAUUUAUCUAAUAAACUUUCUUGCUUCCUUGAUUGAAAUUGUGUUUGAAGGAUUUAAUAGUGUUAGAUCCGAGUUUACAGAUUUCAUAUCCUCUGCUGCUGGUUUCUUUUUAAUCUACUUUUCUUUGUUUUUUUGUCAAUAUGCGCCGAUGAUAUGGCUGGUAAACUGUUUUAUGUAUGUUGUACAUUUUCAGCAAAAUCCUUUGUUUCACAGGGCUUUAAUUUAUUUGUGAAAGAACUUUACAUUUAGCAAUAUAUAGUAGACUUGGUUCUGGUGGAAUCCAUACCGGCUGUUUACUUGGUCCCUAGAUUGCAUAUCUGCCCUCUUUGAGAAUCUUUUUUUAUAUAUAAUUUAUGUUUUUCAUGAAUGCUUUGAGGAAGUUUAAUUGCUUUCCACUUUGCUUGAUUUCUUCAAGUUCUUUAAUUAUAAUUAAUUUUGGCUCUCACAAAAAAUAAAAAACUGGUGCCAUAUAAUUUUUGGAUUUGUUUUAAAUGAAAAGAAGGAAAAAAGGGGAUCAUGUGAUGUUAUACCAUCUGCCAGUUUAUCUUUUCAUCAUUAUGCUAGAAUCUUGGCCCUUGUGGAGUGUCAAAUGAUGAAAGAUCUCUUAAGAACUAUCAUUAUCUAGAUAGGAACAUCAUUUUGCAUUGAGCUUUUAGAUAUUUCAGGUAAGCGGACAGGUGCAGGUUUCCUUCUUCCCUAAUCAUGUUGAAUGAUUACAAUACAACUGACUUUAAAAUAGAUUACUGAUGAAGACUACUGUCUCAAGAUUUCUUAGAAGAUAUUGCCAUAUGCUUUGCAUGCUUAUGGUUUUGUUAUCUUAUACUUGUUCUGUUUUUCUGCUUUCACAGGUUCUUGUGGAACUGUAUAUCAUGCUCUGUGGUAUGGCUCGGUAUGUUUAUUGUAUUGCUUUUCACUGAAUGAGGAUUCUCUUGUGAGGAGCGCAGUCCAUCCCGUAUAUAUAUACACAUAUAUAUAUACACAUAUAUACAUAAAUACAUACAUAUAUAUAUACAUAUAUAUAUAUACAUAUACACACACACACACACACACACGUAUAUAUACACACACACACACAUGUAUAUAUAUAUACACACACACACACAUACACAUAUACAUACAUACACAUAUACAUACACACACAUAUACAUACACAUAUACAUAUAUAUACAUACACAUAUACAUAUAUAUACAUACACAUAUACAUAUAUAUAUACAUACACAUAUACAUAUAUAUACAUACACAUAUACAUAUAUAUAUAUACACAUAUAUAUAUAUACACACAUAUAUAUAUACACAUAUACAUAUAUAUAUAUAUACACAUAUAUAUAUACAUAUAUAGGACUGAUGCCUUAUGAGUGUGAUUCCAUACUGGGAGUUGCAUGCAUACCUUAAGAUAAGAUUGAAAGAAUACAUUCAAGCAACCUAUUGAUCAUGUAUUGGCUAUAACACAUAGUCACAUACACAAUAAGCUAGGGUUGUGUCUAUCUUUAUCACCAUAUGGCCUUUCUUGGAGUUAAAACAAAAAUGAUCCCAACCCUUUCAGAUAGCUUAUACACGGUUCUACUUGAUUAAGCAAUCGUAGUACAGGUGUCAGUCUAAAAUGGCAAUUUUCCAUAGGACCAUUUGGAAUGAACUUUAUGGUAUAUGUCUUAUACCAAUGCAUGCUUGCAUAUAUAGUUUCAUACGUUAGUACAGGAUUGCCGAGCAAAUUUUUUCCUGUCAUACAAAAUGUUUUGAAUAUGAACUGCACUGAUCAGUCAAGACAAGAUAGGAUUUCACAAUGAUGAGCUCUAGCAUCCUUCAAUAGUAUAUAUGUCUUCGUUAAAGAUAAAAUGUCAAAAGCCAAGACGAACUUUCUCUUGCAUACUUAGAGAAAAGUUAAAAGUCAGGAUGAAAUCAACCAUUGCUCCGACAUCAAAUCUAGAUUUUCUCCAUAAAUACAGAAAACCCUAUCCCCUAAAAUUGACAACCUUUUUUUUUUUGGUGUUAGACAUUGCAUCAUCCAAUCUCUUGCUUCCAGCUGUGUUGAAUCACUAUUCCUUUCCAAAUCUCACCCUAUCUUCGGUUUCUACCUCCAGUGUAAGUCCUGCGAAUGAUCCCAUCCUUCAUAAUCUCUUCAAAUGGGAUAGAAUUAACUGGCUAGCAUGACCCAACCUCUCAAAAUAUUAUUUAGAUCAAUAGCUGAAGUUUCUACUUCGGUGCUUUGCUUUAGAAACUCUUUAGAACUUUGCUCCCUCACUCACUUUCCAGGUGCUUCCUUAUAUAUAAUUUCUUUGAGAAUUCUGCUGCUCUGCUCCUGCAUACACUCCAAAUCUUCGCAACCAAAUGUUAAGUGAUCAUCACUCCCUCCAGACACGCUGUAGGAAAAAAAAAAGAACGUUAGGCUGGUAGGCUCCGUUAAGAAAGUAUCUUACAGCUUCUCUGACUUUUUAGGUACCUUAAUGAGGGUUAAAGAUGCACACAAGUGCAAGAUUAACAAGAAUGGAUUGGUCUGUCAUAAUUUUCUUUCACAUGUUAAGAGAUUGCCCUUUCGCUCUUCAUCUUUUGUCAAACGUCUCAGUUGUUGACUAAUAACGUGGGCUUAUAAACUUGGAUGCCGGUGAUAUGAAGCAUCCCUACCAAAUCAUCUGAUUGUAGAUUUCAUUGCCUAAUUAGCCUAGACGUCCAACUUUUUUCUCGACAUAGGUCUCUUUAGUUUCACUAAGGCUUAUAAGGACUCUCUAGGGUUCACUUGUAGACCUAUAACCACUCUAAGCAUUUGAGCUGGAAUGUAGGAUUAGUUGGCAAAAUGGAAAAGAUGUAAAGGAACUCACUUAAGACCAUGGUCGGCAGAACCGUCCCGAAUCGGGCGGUUCCGCCCGUUUCGAGCCGUACCGGGCGGUUCCGCCCGUUUCGAGCCUUACUGGUGGCUCAUCGGUACGGUUUGGGCUGUAAAAAUGGAAUGCUGCUAGAGCUGGAGAAGGAGAAGAGAAAGAGAGAGCGAGCGGGGGAGGGAGGGAGGAGAGGCAGCGGACGACAGCCGAAGCCGCAGCCUGUUCCCCUGUUUCGCUGCCGUGGCCUCCGCCAGCGUCCACCACCUCUCUCUCUCUCUCUCUCUCUCUCUCUCUCUCUCUCUCUCCUCCUUCUCCGGAUCCAGCAGCGUGCCCUCUCUCGGUACGGGCCCGUUACGGCCUGUACCGAGUCGUCCAGCCGGAGAACCGGUACAGUGCCCGGUACCGGUUCCUCCGACCUUGCUUAAGACAGGAUGCAAUCAAACUGGUUGAAAUUAGUUAUAUAUCAAUGACGUCUACAAAAUGUGCACACCAUCUAAUUUUGCAACAAAAUUGCCAGGCUUACAAUCAAAGAUACUUCAUGCUUGUUAGUGCUAUGUAAGGGUAACAUGGACUUGCAAUGAAGCAGUUAUACUGGUUGAAUUGUUGUUAACCUUACACUAUGGAGCUAAAGUAUCUUAUUUCAUUGCAGGAUGUGGCCGUUAAAGUAUUCUCAAAGCAGGAAUAUUCUGAUGAAGUCAUACUUUCCUUUAGACAAGAGGUAACUUUCAAAACUAAGCUUGCAUCUCUCAAAGAAUAAGGAUCUGUGAUUACCUUUACGAUUCGACAUAUUUAAGAAGCUGAAUCUUGGUUUUAAAACAUCAUCUUCUAGCAUGUUAUUUAAGUUAUAACAUUGAUACAUGAAUCAUUUAGGGGUUACAAGUGAUUCGUCUAAUAGAGAGAUACUCAAUUUGUUCAAGAAGUUGCUAUGUCGUUACUUGCACCUGUGUGCAUCUUACAUGUGAAUGCAUGUCAAAGAGAAGGAUAGUAUCACACCUGAAUUGAUUUGUUAAUUUUACAGAUUCAAGCCUAAGCCUGUUGGAAUUUAGACUUCUGUCUACCAGAAUAUCUAUAGCAGUUCAUAGCGGUAUUCCAUCCUUGAAGAUUAAAACUAUCUGCUGAUUCUGAUAGCUUUUGAUUUUACCUGUACUUUCAGCUGCUGAGAUUAAUUUUCAUCGUCGUUGAUGGCUUUUGUGCAGCCACUCUUUUUUGAUGGCUCAGUUUAUCAUUCUCUCUUUUCCCCAGAAGUGCUAAUAUAAAAUAACGAAACUAUAAUUUUCAUUAUCUAGUUCACAUAAUACAAUCACAAAGAGCUUUGAAGGAUUCGUAUCCUUCAAAAUGAAAAAAAUUGAUUCACUUAUAAUUUGCAUUUAUCUUAGACAUGUAAAGUUUGCAAUUUGAAAAUUGAAAACUUGAGCUUUAACCUAGAAAGCUGACAUGUGGAAUCUCAAGUUAGAUUAAUGUGAGAGCACAGCCAUUGUAGCUCUGGGUAUUAUUGAAUUCAACAUGGACAAUCUAUCUGGAUCAUUAUCCAUAAGGGUUCCUCUUCAUCAGACAUCAAUCCUCCAAGGAGUAUUUACAUUAGGCUCUAAAAAUAUUUUUAUUUUUAAGUUUUAGAUGAAUUUAAUUCUAUAAGAACAUGAUGCUAUUUUUUGGUGGAUGGAGAAUUGAUUGUAUGCCCCUUCUACGAUAUAAGUAAAUUGACCAUGAUCAACCAUUUACAUUUAUUGUUUCAUGCAAGGUUUGCCGUCUUUGUAUCCGAUUUCAUACUGGUACCCAUGUUGGUACGAUAUUAGUAUACUUAGUACAGGGGUCUGUUUGGCAUACUGAGACUCCAUACACCUUUCCGUACCAAGUCUCGAUUCAGUACCAGUAAAGUACAAUAUGGUAUGCCUAGUACAGAGCAGUAGGCGUGGUACGGAGCGGUGAGCACCGUUACGGCGAGCUAUUAUAUGCAUUGUUGUGGAAUAAUUUUGCUUUAAAACCAUCUUCAAAUCUCAAAAUUUAGUAGCCAAUAGCUCAUGUUGCUGGUAUCAUCUAAAUAUAGUUUUAUGGGUGAAGGUAUCGCUGAUGAAGAGGCUAAGGCAUCCAAAUAUACUACUCUUUAUGGGUGCAGUUACUUCUCCUCAGAGACUAUGCAUUGUGACAGAGUUCCUUCCACGGUUUGUUCUUCACUUCACCUAUAAAUUUCAAAAAGAAAACAACCUGAACUCCAUCUUUGGGAUUGCUUGGUAUUUUUUUUUCCUGUUAGCUAUAUACUUGGGACUGUUUGAGAAGACACUUCAGCUUGUUUAUAAAUCAGAACUUAAAUUUAGUUGCAACAGAAGGUGUCAGGUCGUGUCUUUAUCUUAACAAAUGAAAUUUGUUAUUCCUUUUAGAAAAGGUUCCGAGUCUAGGUAAAUGGAUAACCCUUCAUCACAGCUCUGUUGUGAAGUAAAGCAGUUUGUCCUGGUUACCUAAAGUUUCUAAUUAGGGAUCUAUUUUGAUGAGUAUAAUUUGAACCAAUUUCUUUCCACUCUAAUAUUAUUAUGAAGUUGUCCUAAGAUCUAUUGUGUAAUGAGCAUGAAACCAGUAUAGGUAUUCUAAAUUGGUCAGUUCAAAAUAACUUUGAGCUCUUUUCAUAUAGCAAGGUCAUUAUGGUUUUAAUUUUUACCUUUAUCUCCUAGAGAUCAAUGUAGUGUAGCAUAAUUGUAUUAUAUUUCAUUUUGACAAGUUUUAAGAAGUAGCGAGUAUUUGAAUUGAAAACAGUGUAUGCACGAUUUAAAGCUGGGUACAGAGCCCAGACACCCACCCCUAUCCCUCUUAAACCAAAAUCUAGAAAAAAAAAAAAACCUGAAACAGAUCACUGUUGUCAUUUGUCCUUGACUCAUGGCCAAAUCUGGGGUCAGCUAUAGAGCAAAACUCUAAGUUAAGAAGGUUACAUGGAAGGGUGAGGCAGGUUUUAUAGUCGAUUGUAAGCUUGAUGCCAAUCGUUAGCAGCAGGAAACUUCAACUUGCAGUGGAUAACCUCCUUCCAAAUUUCUCCAGAAACUCAUCCUAUACUCAAUUCCUUUGUGUUCCUUAUUCAUUUCUCUUAAGAAACUCACUUCCCCAUACCAUCAUCCAAAUCUGCUUCUUCACCUGCUUCUGGUAACUAAGCGUUGACCCUCUACAACGGUGCUGAAUUCCUGGCUAAGGGAAAUAAGGCAAGAGGGGGGCCUUCCAUUAAACUUGUAUGGCUACUUGUUGAUAAGGAGGUUUACCUUGUUAGGUUCAGUUUAAGCUCAUGCAACCAUGAGCAAACCCUUUAAAAUUCCUUUAGACUUGCAAAGAGUCUAGAUGAAGGACAAGAUGAUAACUUCUGAUAGAGUGAAGGAGUUGUUCACCCUAAAUGAACAAAAGAACCAAAUAGUCAAAUGAAACACAAUGAUAUGACAUAGGCACAGACAAAUAUAUGUAAGAUAGGCCUGUCAAGGAAGUCUAUGGAGUUGCCUUAAUAUGAAAAGCAACUUCAUUGCUCAAGAGGUGCUCCAACCAUCUGAAUGUUUCUAACAUGAUAUCAGGCCAAGUUUUCAGGAUCAAGCUUAGUCUUCUUCAGCACUCUUGAAGUUCUUGUUUUGCAAGCCAUCCACAAUAGUGUUUGUGGAAUAAUAACUGAGCUCUUGCAAUGGAGGACAGUGUAGAUGGCAGGGGUCUAUAGGCCUAUAGGGUCUAGGGAAUAGGGUCAAGGGAAGCAAGGCAUAAAUCUAUAGGUUGCUGGAAAUUCCAGUUUGGCAGCAAGUUUAGAGUUUUAAAUGCAGCAAAGCAAUCAGCCAUGUUUUUGGAUGGAAAGAGGGGUCAGUUGGUGGCUUAUAAGGAUAUAUGGAGGAGAAAUAACAAAGAUGGUAACAGCAGAUUUGUUUUUGCAAUAAUACGGAUCUCAGAAGCAAGUGGUGUUAGGGGCUGCAGGUUAAGGUUUUUCAGGGAUUAACCAUGGGUUGUGAUGGAAGGCUGUUAGGCUCACCGCAAUACUAGAACAGGGUGUACUGUGAUGACAGUCCUGAUCUGACCUGAAAAUAGACCCUGAUAGGUAGCUGUUUGCCUUAACACAGAUGGCUAGCGGUGGCAAAAAGGCAAGGGAAUAGCUUUCUUUGUUAUUAGAUCUGCAAGCUAUGAUUGUCUAAGAUGGUUCUACUGCAGAUUUAGUUGACAGCAGUAACAACAGAGCAACCAGGCCACAGAAAAUAAUGAAUAGAAGCAAAACUGAAAGUAGCAGCAAGUAGUGAAAGGAUAGGAAAGAUGCUACCAGACUCCAAGAUGUAGGAACCAGAUUUAGGGUUUGAAGGUCUCACACCGUCGUUGCAGAAUCACACGACAAGAGGGAAAAAGCUGAUUAUGUCUAAGACCCAAACUUAAAAGAAAAGGAAACCCUAACAAUCUUUUGUAAUCCCAAAACUAUCCCCCAUAUGGCAUGGUUGCGGCUCACAGUUACUGUAGUGCAAACAGUGCCAUGAACUGUACUGAUACAGUAAUUUGGUUCAUACAGCUAUCAAAUAAAACCAGAGAUCAUUUGAUCUGAGCCCUUGAUUUCAAAUGACCCACUAAAGGCUAAAACUAACCAAAAAAUAGAAGAAAAUCUAAAACUUGACUACAGAAAUGACUACAACCAGAUCAAGUAAAUUCCUAAGAUUCAUAGCCCUCGGCACAUCAUGACAUGAUGUCCGAUCAUCAUCCAUGAAAAAUUAUUCUUCUCCUAAACUCUACAGAAACAAUAUCUUCACAAUUCUCAAGCAGUAUCACCCAGUUUCGGUCUUAUCAUUUUAGCUGCAAAGUGAUCAAAAGCAAUAUUCUUGUGCAUGCUAAUUGCAAAAAAAAAAAAAACUUUCACUUGCCGUGGGGACUGACCCUUGUAAGGAUAUUUGCAUUUACUUGUGUGGCUACUUAGAUGGCAUGUUCAUUGUAACUGCGUCAAACUGCAGCCCACGAGGUGAAAGUUAUUGAUUGAACAAAUAAGUAUUAACCAUUUAAAUAGUGAUUGGCAUAACAAAAGGUCAAUAAAUAUUCAUUGUUAACCCCACAUGUAUAAACCUUCAGAGUAGUUCAGAGUGUAGCUACAUCAGAUGAUAUGGUCUGGAAAUUCAGCAUUGAGAUGUACAUGGUAGAUUGGGUGAUUACAGUUAUAGACUUCAUUUUCAAGAAGACAGCUAUUAUCUGUAUCUAACUUAUGAUUGAAUAGAAAAGUUUCUACAUUAUUGCUCUUUGGUUGAUAUCUAUUCCAAAUGCAGUGGGAGUUUGUUUCGGUUGCUUCAAAGAAACAGCAAAAGAUUGGAUUGGAAACGACGCAUUCACAUGGCUUUAGAUAUUGUGAGUAUAUUUUUAUAUAUAGAUUAGAAAAGGAUUUACUGACAUUUAAUUCUAUUUAUAGAUCUGGUUUAAGAAUAUUGAUCAAGGAAUCAAACUGUUAAACUUCGAAAAGGGUAUUCUUAUCACUCCAAAAUUUUAUUUUCCUUUGGUCAUUUCCCAGACUACUGCAUGUGUUGAACUAGACAUUUAGAAGAUAGAUUUGUUAAGAGGAUGAAAAAGGUCUUUUUUUUGCAGCAAAGCCACCUUGGCAUUCGAAGUUUCAGUUUGAUUUUGCUUAUGUUGCAAUGAAUUAUGUAGCUUGAAAUUGCAAACCAUUAUUGAUUAUAAUAUGUUCUUUCUUAUCCUUCAACAGGCAAGGGGCAUGAAUUAUCUUCAUCAUUGCAACCCGCUUAUUAUUCAUCGUGAUUUGAAGUCAUCAAAUCUGUUAGUUGAUAAGAAUUGGACUGUGAAGGUGUGUUUUUACUUCUUAAAGAUAUAGGUGUACCACAUCGUAUGUAUAUUAUAUCCUCAUUUUGCUUUGUUUGUGGUGAACAGGUUGGGGAUUUUGGUCUUUCACGUCUGAAGCGUGAAACAUAUCUGACAACAAGAACCGGGAAAGGAACGGUAUUUGCACAAACAGCUCAUACUAGUUUCGUUAUUUCGAGUCUUCUUUGGUACCAAAUUAAUUAUCAGCCAAUGAUAACUUCUGGACAUCUAAUUAUUUAUCUUAAGCUAAAAACUGACCAUUUUCCUAUUUUCAGCCACAAUGGAUGGCUCCAGAAGUUCUACGAAAUGAGCCUUCAGAUGAAAAGUAGGUUGAGAUCUCAAUAUUAUCUUAGCAUGUCGUUGGUUCAAUGUUCCACUUGUUGCUUGAACGGGGUCUUUCUUUUCUCUUUUUUUUCUUUUUUCUGGAAAACAGGUCUGAUGUGUAUAGCUAUGGGGUAAUACUAUGGGAACUUGUCACCGAGAAGAUUCCUUGGGAAAAUCUCAAUUCAGUGCAGGUAAUUCCCUGCUGAAGUUCUGCCAUUUGUCCUAAUAUCAAGUAGCUUGCGUUUACUUUCAUCCAACUAACAAGAAAUUUUUACUUUUUUUUUUUUUGCUUUAACGGAUUAAUCAUACAAUGCAUGUACGAAUACACCCUAAAUUUUUACAUAUUUGACAUCAUAAUUUACUAUCAAUCAUGACUUGGUACAGUAUCUUUUUGUUUUUUUUCAUUGUUUGGGAGCUUAUUGAUAUCUUCAGAAUAAUUACAAAAAACAUAUUGCAUAUUUGCUGAUCUAAGAUGCCUCUUCUAUGCUAUUGGCUAGAUGCUUCCUUAUAUUCUGAUUACAUCUCUGGUUCACUUUGCAUUCAAUUCUUAUCUUUGACUGUUAUAAUAUUUAGACUAAAUCACAAAUCCAGGCUUUGUUCUUGUCCAUAUAUUGUUGAUUGAAAGAGCACUAUCUAAAAGAGGACAAAUCAAAAAUUUGUCGUAAUGUUGUAUUACAUAAUCUUCAUCUGAUUUCACCUAGAAUGGUAAGGCAACAUGCAGAAAUAUGCUGCAAUUUUGCUAACUUCGAUAUUAAACUGUUUUUCUUAUUCAUAACAUGCAAUUCUAGGGAAACAAAUUUGACCUGCAUAUAGUUUUGAAAUCAAUUGCUGCCGGAUAAAUUCAAUUAAGAAGUUAGGGUCCUAGACCUUGUUUAAAGGCUUGUACAUUGCAAUUCUGAUUCUUUUGCCUUUUGAAUAACUUCAUCAUCCAGGUCAUUGGAGCAGUAGGUUUUAUGAACCAAAGGUUGGAGCUCCCGAAGGACCUGGAUCCACAGUGGGUGUCAAUUAUUGAGAGUUGUUGGCAUAGGUUUGCUUUCCUUUUCUAUGAACAAAAUUUGCCCAGAUGCUCUCUCUCUCUCUCUCUCAAAAUUACCUGCUUUUUUGUACUUCUGCAAACAGUGAACCAAACUUGCGGCCAAGUUUCCAGGAGCUGCUAGAAAGAUUUAAAGAUUUGCAGAGGCAGUAUGCUGUCCAAUCUCAAGUGCAACGCUCUGUACCUAGCAACACUAACCAGGGUAAUGCAAGAGUGAGUGUUCAGGAAUGAGGUUAUCAAACUGAAAGAUUUAUCUGCCAGUCCGUGCAUCAGCCAUGGAUCUAAUGAGAAGCAUUGUUCAUUCCAUCAUCGCAUGCAACUACAGUGAGCUACAGAUCCUAUGAGUGCUGCAGGACUGUCUUCAUUAGUGAGCACAGCUCAGCUGUGUACAUUCUAAUCAAGCAGCAUGCAGCUAGCUCUGUGACUGCCGAAUUGCUGUGCUGACCUGUCACUUUUUGUGAAAAAUUAAUCAGCCAAUUGUAAAAUUGCCUUGGAUCAACCAUAACACGAGAUGAGGCUUUUUAAAAAAAAUUAUCUUCGCAUAAGUUACGCCUUAGGCUAGUGAGUUUUGGUGGUUGGGCUGCUUGUAAAGAAGAUCCAUCAGAGCCCUACGUAAAUAUUGUAUUAUAGCAUGGUACAAGCUUUACUGCAAUUUUUAAAUUUUCUUUUCUUUCCUCCAUGAAUUUGUCAUGAGGAAGAAUAGUAAUGUGUGCAUUGUUGGGGCUAUCUAGAAUAGGUUGAAUUGAUUGCAAGCAGCACUUUUAGGACUUGUUUGAUUCAUGGGAAGAAUUUUAUCUCGCCAGUGUAUUUUCUGAAAAAUUGACGUAUGAAUAUAUGAUACUUGAGAAAGUAAUUUUUAUAGAUUUGGUUGAUCAAAAAAAAAAAGACAUAGAAAACACUUUUUAGAGUGCAUAUUUGGUUGAGUAUUUGCUUUUCUAGAAAAAUUAUUUAAAAUAUUUGUCAUGCCUUUAAUAAAGUUGUGUAGAAUAUCUAUAAAACAUCAUAUGCAUAAAUUUAAUAGCUAUUUAAUUUUUUUUAAAAUAUGCAUUAAAAAUAUUUAUUGGGUUGAAUUUUUAGUAGUUAUACAACUUUUUUAUAUUGUGGUACUUUUUAAUAGUUAUUAAUAUAUUUUUAUAUGAAAAUUACCAUAAUUUUAUAUUUUACUAAUUUUUGAUAGUUUAAAAUUAAUUAUUAAAAAUAGAUAUUAAGGAAAUCAGGACAGCUUAAAGGUAUUUUCGGUAAAAAAAAUACCACAAUAUUCAGUUUGUGGGAAAAUGGUUUUUUCGUAUUUUACAUGGGUUUUUUUAAUAAAAUGUGGGAAAUUUUUUAUUUCCUACAUUUUUUAAUAAAAAAUGUAUAUUCUUUUUCCUUUCACAAAAAAAAGAUAUACUUUAUUUUUUUAUUUGAAUAUUUUCAAACCUCAUUAUUUAAAAUAACUUAAACUGAUAUGUUUUAGUUAUUUUAAAUAAAAUUAAUAUGUUUAGCAUUAAAAAUUUGAAGCUACCCAUAAGUAAAAUGAACUAUAUUUAGUUUUAUUUUUUUAUCAAUGAAAAAAUAUAUAUAGCUAUAAAUUUUAUUUUAAUUGUUAAUUUUAAAUUGCAUGGAUCUACAUUUUAAAUUAAUAUAUUUCAAAUAUUGUAAAUAGUAAAGCUUUGAAAAUAUUUAAAAGAAUAAAAUGAUGAAUAUGUUUUGUCAAAUUUUGUCAAAAAGGGAAAAUUUCAAAGUCAUAACCUAGUAAAAAUAAUUCAAAAAGUAACAUAAAUCAUUGUUUCUAUUUAUCACUAAAUAUUUUAAUUUUUUAGUGCUAGUUCCAUGAAGGGUAAAAAUACCAUUUUAUAAAUUUAAUAACACUUUAAUGAUGCUUUCUAAUAGAGAGUGAUAACAGGGACAAAUGAUGCCUGUAAACCAUUUUGUCAAAAAGAACUUGAUCUAGGAAUAAAUGUAUAAAUUGCAAUUUUGCAGAGAUAAAUACAUAAUUAGGCAUGUUAUAAGGUUGUACAAGCAGAAAUCUGAAAAAAAAAAAGUCUCAUGGAGCAUACAGGCAUAUUUUCUGAAAUUAAUUUCUUUGGUGGCACCUGUUUACCAACUUGCGAGCUACUCGAAUAGGCAUAUCAGAGAUAAAUGACAAGAAUUGAGACAUCCAGUCAGAGGUCCAAGAAUAUCAGGAGAAUAGGCUUAAGCCCCAAUACAUGGAAUCUAGACUGAGCUUCAAGUAAAACAGAUUCAGCUAUAGAAACUAACAAACCCCAAAAUUUGAAGUUUGACAGAAAUCAACAAGUACAGAGAAACUAAACAAAAUAUAUAGUCACUUCAUAUUUCCCGGUACAAGAGAUUGAUGUUUCGUGCAAAAAAAAUGGAGUAAAUACUGGAGCAAGAAACUAGUUCUUUUCCCAUAUAAAUUUAAAAUAUCAGGAUUUAUAGCCGAUUGCCUGACCAUAUUGCGUGAUUACAAAAAUGGAACCAAAGGAAUGUGUCACGCAAACUUCUAGUGCAGUAAAGAGCGAAUGGCAGCAACAGCAUCGCCUUUGUGCUCCCUCAGUGUUCUCUCUGCCACUUUCUUGUCCAACUGCAUAGAAUGGUGGGGUAUUACUGGCAAGGUCAUCAUCAGCUAAGAAGUGAGAAUGAGAAAGGAAAGGUUUUCACCUCAAGCUCAUUGGCGAUGAUGUCUACAUCGGUCAGAUUGAUCUUGACAGCAGCCAGUUCCUUCUCCCUGAAAGCAAGUUACAUCAGUUUAGACUGAAUUCAUGGUAUAUUAUGAAGAAUUACCCAGUGCACCGUGAAUAAGACUGGCCAUACAGGCACAUUUUGCAAAUCUGGUAGGACAGUAUAAAUUGAAUGAUCUGUACCUUCAAUUGUUCAGGUAUCUCAAAUUUAUCUGGCGAGGAGAUUCUUCCAGUUUAAAUAGCAGUAGGCUGGGAACGAACAGAAGUCUGGGCCUAAAUUAAUUGUUUUCAAUUUAUCUCGCCUACACUUGCUCCUAAAUCAAAGAAUUGAAAUUCUAUUAUUCUAGUAACAUUUCAGUCAAACACUGAGGCCAGCAUACCCAAUGUCAGUAUGCUUCCUAGUAAAAGUAAGGUUAUUUAGAGGGGAAAUGCUAUAUUAAAAAUCUGCAAAACAAGGAGCUUAGCUCAAUAUUGGAAGACCAGGUUGCCGGCAAUCUAAAGGGCAUCUUAAUUGUCAUUAUUGGAAGUAGCGAAGAAUAAAUCCAUAACCAACAAGCAGUCAUCAGAACCAAGCAACCAUGGGACCAGUACCAUAUCAUAGUUACCAUGUUUCAGCACUCAAUUGGGAGGCAUGUUGUUAGCCUGUUUACUGGUCUUCCUUCUUGUUAGUUAAUAAGGGAAGAUCAAGGAAAAUGAAGUAAUGGUGACAUCACUAGCCAGAUUCACAUCAUAGAAGGCAAAGACUAAAGGUAGAGAAUUUUUUGCACGUUGCAGUCAUUGAAAGCAAAGGCCUGAGGUAGAGUUUUUUUUUUUUUCAUAUUGCAGCCAUUGGCUGCAUCAACUCCAUCAAGACUCGUGUUGGAUGUUGGACAGAGUUUGACUUAUUAGAAGGUGAAGAGCUAGAGAUUCUGGGGCUUCAUGAAAUAGUUUGAAAGCUAAGGAUUUGGAGAAUAAUAAAAGCAAGAUGCCAGGCAACGAUGGUACCAAUAAUAUUAAUCUCAAAAUGCUUGGUUCACUCACAGAAGAGAAACACCCAUAUCAACAAGAAGUCACCAAAACCUUGGUCCAAUAUUACGAUUAAUCCACUCUUGAAAGACAAGGUUGCCAACAAUCUAACUGACACUUCAAUAAUCAUAUUAUAUAUUACCCAAAGAAAUAAAAUUAGUAAUAUUUGUUGAACAUAGUGAGUACGAGAAGUCAGACAUUUGUUUUUUUGCUACAACAAAUGACAUAUUGUUUCUUGGUUUUUCUAGUCUUCUAAAAGACUAACAAAUAAAGAUGGACAUGUCGGUGAGAUCACUAGCCUAUUUAGCAUCAUAGUAGGAGAGAUGACCAGAAGAGAAGACAAGCAACAUUUAGAAAAAACAUACAAUGAUAUCAUUAAUAAACUAGUGAAUUAGUUCCAAUGUGGAGAUAAUGAAUGAAAAACAUGCAACAACAAAAAAUCCAGCAAGGACUAAAGUUCCCAUCCGUACCAUAUAGAUCUAAAACAUGAAUCAUGCUUGCAGGUUUUCAGCAUGGUACAAGGGUGCAUAACUUUGUAGCAUCUGUGCCAGUUAGUAUCAAUGUACAUCAACUUGUACUCAUAUAUUUGAAGUGAUAAGCAUCAAUAUGUACCAAAGAUUAUAACAUUAGGCAUACCGGCUGUGAGGACUUGUGUAAGCAUAUGUUUAGUCUCAUAUUGUUGUGCACUAGAGAGAUCUUGGACUCUUAUAUACGGCCAAGAAACCCGAAUAAUAACUUCUGACUAAGCUUUACGGGUGAGCUUAUGGAUCGUUAUAAAUGCUAAACAGAGCAAAGCCAACCCAUGGCCCAUGUUGAUAGGUCCCAAUCAGAGUUAGGAAAUGACAAAUAGAUAAUUGGAUAAAGCUCUCUUCGGGUGAGAGACAGAUAAAGCUCUCUUCGGGUGAGAGACAAACCUCAAGUACUUUGAUUAAAAAUUGCCUGCCUCUACAUUCCUACAUAGGAAAUAUAAAUAAGAAAAAAUAUAACAACCUUGCCUACAAACUCGAUAUCAUACUUCGAAAUUAAAGGACCCUACUAACAGUAACAAUUAGAACCGAAACACUCUCUAACAGCUAGUAAGACUUAUUCUUCACUGCACGUAUCCGUUAGCUUCAUGAAGGUCUCGGCACUUGACCAGGCCAGCUCCCAACAGCUCAACAGCCAGCCCACGUUUUCCAUGCAAAGCUCUCCCCUCGCCACGUCAUGCAUGCAGCUCCUUUCCCAUGCUUCUACUCACCCCACGUACUUAGGAUUCUUGUUAGGCACCCUUAUGGAGCGACGUAGCUUAUCAUUACCCCCUUCUUCGGGUGGAACCUUGUCCCCAAGGUCCACACCAGGAAAUUGAUUCACCAAUUCCACAACAUCUUCCCACGUAGCAUCUUCAGUUGGCAGCCACUUCCUUUUGACCAAACUCUCCUCGAUGAACUUAGGCCCCCGUUUAACCCAAUGUGUGUCGAGAAUAAACUCCAAGACAACCGCUCCAUCAUCAGUGAUAGGUGGCAAUUCAGUGCUUGCCGUCGAUCCUUCGCCAAUCAUUUUUUUUAAGCAAUGACACAUGGAAGACUGGAUGCACCCGUGUGCCUUCAGGAAGCUUUAACUUAUAGGCAACAUUCCCCACUCGUUUCUCAACCUGAUAAGGCCCAUAGAAUCGGCUUGCCUGGUGAGCACGUUUGUAGGCUGAGUGUUGAUGAUAAGGUUGAAGUUUAAGGAAGACUAAAUCUCCUCCUUCGAAUGACACAUCCCUUCUUUUUCGGUCUGCCACCUGCUUCAUUCGAUUUGUAGCCACACUCAAAUUCUGUUUUAGUUGCCGCAGCAACUCAUCUCGUGCCACAAGCUUCUGGUCGAGUUCAUCAACUGGGGAGGAGCCACUCUGGGUACCAUGGAAUUGUUGGAGGUAACCUGCCGUAGAGAGCUUGAAAAGGAGUCAUCCCCGUUGACGCAUGAUAAGCGGUGUUAAACCAAAAUUCUGCCCAUGGUAAAAAGGUGCUUUUGCGUGGUUGCUGGUGGACGAAGCAGCGCAUAUAUUGCUCGACACAUCGGUUUACUACCUCAGUCUGCCCAUCCGUUUGUGGGGGGUAAGCCGAACUCAUCUUCAAUUGUGUUCCUGACAGCUUAAAGAACUCAUGCCAGAAUUUGCUGAUGAAGAUGGGGUCACGGUCGCUGUUAAUGGUUUUUGGCAUUCCGUGGAGCUUGACUAUGCCGUCAACAAAUUUCUCAACCACCAUCUUCGCUGUAAAUGGAUGAGCUAGUGCCAAAAAAUGAACAUACUUACUGAGUCGAUCCACUAACACUAGAAUGGUGUCCUUGCCGUGGGAUGAAGGGAGUCCCUCAAUAAAAUCCAAUGAAAUGUCAUCCCAAACUUAGCACGAAAUGGGUAACGGUUGGAGGAGUCCUGCUGGAGACAGAGUUUUUGUCUUGGUUCGCUGGCAAAUUUCGCAAGUCGCCACAUAGUCUCGAACGGUCUUUAUGCAUGGAAGGCUAAUAGAACUGUUGAGAUAGGCGCUUGAAAGUUCUUAGUCCACCCGAAUGGCCUCCAAUCUUGGUGUCAUGGAACUCCUGCAACAACUGGUUGAUGAGAGAAGUGUUGGGGGGGUACCACCACUCUGUUUUUGCAAAAUACCAGUCCAUCCCUCCAUGUAUAGGGAGUUCUUGGUUGUGUCUGCGCUAGGAGAGUCACAUGGGCCAUGUAUGGGUGGUCUUUGGCGGCCUCUUUAAUAUCCUCCCAUAAAAUAACCUGCGGCACAAACAAUUGGUUAAGGAUUGGACUGCCAGGUACUCUAGACAGUGCAUCAACAGCAAAAUUUUCGCGUCCCCGGCGGUACACAAUCUCAUAGUCAUAACCGAGCAAUUUGGCCACCCACUUUUGUUGUUCAGGUGUGACAAUGCAUUGCUCCAAGAGAUACUUAAGGCUGCGUUAAUCCGUCUGAAUGAAAAACUUCUUCCCAAGCAAAUAUGGCCGCCAAGUGCGAAUUGCUUCAAUAUGGCCAGCAUCUCCUUUGCGUACGUAGACCACGAUUUUUUUAAGACUCCCAAAGCCUUACUCAUGAACGCAAUCGGUUUGCCUUGUUGGGUAAGGAUAGCGCCUAUUCCUUCACCUGAGGCAUCCGUUUCUAUAGUGAAAGAAUCAUUGAAAUUGGGCAUGGCUGGAGUAGGCGUGGUGGUCAUGGCCUGUUUGAGCUUAAGAAAGGCAGCUUCGGCUUCCUCACUCCAUUUGAACUAGCUUUUCUUUAAGAGAUUGGUGAGUGGACGAGCUAUCACUCCAUAAUGCUGCACAAUUUUUCUAUAAUAUCCUGUAAGUCCCAAAAACCCACGCAAUUCGAAAAUGUUAGUAGGGCAGGGCCAUUUGAUCAUAGCCUCAAUUUUGCCUUGAUCCACCUUUACUCCUUGAUGUGUCACGAUAUGCCCAAGAUAAACCAAUUCGUGUUGCCCAAAAGCACACUUGCUGGCCUUAAUAAAAAAUUGGUGCUGCCUAAGAAUUUCAAAAGCCUGCUUCACAUGUUCAAGAUGCAUGUCCCAAUUGGGGCUAUAAACUAGAAUAUCAUCAAAGAAAACUAAUAUGAAUUUUCGGAGAUAAGGGCAAAAAAUUGAAUUAAUAAUAGCUUGGAAAGUAGAUGGGGCAUUGCACAAGCCAAAGGGCAUGACUAAAUAUUCAUAGUGACCAUUGUAGGUACAAAAGGCUGUUUUUGAAAUGCCAGGGGAUGUACCCGAACCUGGUGGUAACCAACCCUCAAGUCUAGUUUGGUAAAAUAUGAGGCACCAUGGAGUUCAUCUAGCAUGUCAUCAAUUGUUGGGAUGGAAAAGCGAUCUUUAAUAGUGACCGAGUUAAGGGCCCUAUAGUCAGUACAGAACCGCCAAGUUCUAUCCUUUUCCUUAACUAAAAACACAAGAAAAGAAAAAAGACUGGUACUAGAUUUUAUAAGCCCCAAUUUAAGCAUGUCUUGAACUUGUUUUUCAAUUUCAGCUCUUUGAAAAUAGGCAUACUUGUAGGGCCUAACAUUGAUAGGCUCGGUACCUUCCUUGAGAGGUAUGUGAUGGUCAACUUCGCGGACUGGAGGUAACUUGGUUGGCUCACUGAAAAUAUCUGCGUAGGCUUCAAAGACUUGGAGCAUAUCUAGGUGCAUAUUGGAUGAAGGUACCUCUUCUACCGCUUGUAAGCAGACAGCAAACAUCGAACUCCCUUGUUUGCAUUCUUUUGUAAUUACCUUCAGUGAUGCUGCUUGAACAGGUUGUCCAUUUGUACCUUGUAACUUCCUUGCUUGAUUUUCCCACUGGAACUCCAUGGUCAUUUGCUUCCAAUUACAAACUAUUGACCCCAGCAUUACCAACCAUUGUACACCCAGAGAUCUAGCCCGCUAAGGGGCAGGGAAUAGAGCGUGAGUGUAAACGGUAUACCUUGGAGGUUGAUUCGUACUCUCUCAAAUCUUCCUCGGCACUUCAGUCGGUUCCCAUUUGCUACCCGCACAGUGAAUGGUUCUGUUGGAACAACGUGUAAGCGGAGCAAAUUGGCAACCCUUUCGCUGAUGAAAUUAUGUGUUGAUCCACUGUCAAUCAACACAAUAAAUUCAUGGGGACCGACUCUAGCCUUGACUCGCAUGGUGCGUGAGGUAGACCAUCCGGUUAGUGCAUGCAGCGAAAUCUCAGGCUCGGGUUGUGCUUCGGUUUCAGCCUCUCCUUGUAGCUCCUCCAUGAUGUCUUCACAAAUGAUCUCGCCUGUGCUGCUGCUGGCUUCUAACAGCAACAGUUGUGGCCCUUGACAUUUGUGUCCCACCAUAAACUUCUCGUUACAAUUAAAAUAGAGCCCUUGAGCUCUCCUCUUCUGCAUCUCCUCCCAAGUCAGCUCUCCUCUUCUGCAUCUCCUCCCAAGUCAGCCUCUUCACUGGGUAAGCUGGGUUUGUCUGAGUCGCAGAAGGAGGGGCCAGCUGCGCAUCCUUGGAGCUGGUAGCGGUCGCGUGAAUCGUCGUUGACGUGCGAGUUGCUCAUCCUUCAUCCUCGCCAAACUAAUGGCCUCCUUCAGAGUCUUGGGCUUGAACAUGCGAAUGCCCUCAGAUAUCUCAGGCUUCAGACCUCCCAUGAACGUUCCCACGAGAGCUUUUUGGGUCCAACCUUGCACACGGUUACCCAGUCUCUCAAACUCCUUCUGGUAGACGCGCAAAGUCCCGCUUUGUUUAACUCUCGAUAAAGCCUCGUCAAAUUUCUCGCAGUUUGUGGGUCCAAAACGAGCCCAUAGCUCCUCGGUGAACACCUCCCAAGUCAUUGCUUGGGCCUCCUCUCUGUACGCCCUGCUCAACCACUGCCACCAUUGGUUGGCUUCUCCUUCGAAGUGAAAUGAAGCAAGUGAGACCUUCAAGUCAUUGGCAGUUCUUUGAAACUCAAUGAAUUGUGCCGCUCGAUUGAACCACUCCGUGGGGUCAUCUCCAGCAUAGCGUGGGAACUUUAUCUUGGUUGCUCGAGGAGUGAAGCUUGGCCGACCACAUCCUGGCUCCUCAUAAUGCGUACGAGAAUAGUUUCCCCGUUCAGGAGCAUGAGAAGAUGAGGACCCUUUGGUUGAGAGGACUGCAUCAGAUAGCGCCUCAAGAGAGUCCUCCAGGCGUUGCAGCCGAUCUCCUACUCCGACCUCCAUGCGUUGCAUAUCAUCUUGCAUUCCACCCAACCCUUGCUCUAACAUCUCGAUUCUUUCUUUGUUGGUUGUCAUUGGAAACCUGGCUCUGAUACCAUUGAUAGGUCCCAAUCAGAGUUAGGAAAUGACAAAUGGAUAAUUGGAUAAUGCUUUCUUCGGGUGAGAGACAAACCUCAAGUACUUUGAUAAAAAAUUGCCUGCCUCUACAUUCCUACGUAGGAAAUAUACAUAAGAAAAAAUAUAACAACCUUGCCUACAAACUCGAUAUCAUACUUAGAAAAUAAAGGACCCUACUAACAAUAACAACUAGAACCAAAACACUCUCUAACAGCUAGUAAGACUUAUUCUUCACUGCACGUAUUCGUUAGCUUUGUGAAGGUCUCGGCACUUGACCAGGCCAGCUCCCAACAGCUCAACAGCCAGCCCACGUUUUCCAUGCAAAGCUCUCCCCUCGCCACGUCAUGCAUGCAGCUCCUUUCCCAUGCUUCUACUCACCCCACGUACUUAGGAUUCUUCUUAGGCACCCUUAUGGAGCGACGUAGCUUAUCACAUGUCGAUUAGGAGAUAUGGCAACACAGACCAAUUUGGGGCUGACAAUGGACCAAUUGUGGUAUAUUUGUGACUCGAUCUAAUUGGAUUUAUUGCUCUUCUAACUUGUAGAUUUAAACAAUGAGAAACAAUGUAUGAAUAUACAUAAAACUGGCACAAACAUCAACAUCUAUCAUAGUAAUAUGUUUCUCUUGGCAAUAUCAUUUAUGCUAUGUAUGGGUAGAGUUGCUGAUUUUCCAAAUAUAUAUAUGACAGAAGUUAGAGAGAUACUCAUUGAUACCAUUGACCCAAAACUUUUUAUUUUUGGCUUCUUGGAAGAUGUACAAACUAAAAUGAUAAAGUUAUUGCAGCCAUCACAACUAAAGCAUGGGGC